RNAcentral lists this long non-coding RNA (61185 nucleotides) under Citrus maxima (pomelo). Its description in RNAcentral is "long non-coding RNA (CMAX_LNC001224)". Lineage: Eukaryota; Viridiplantae; Streptophyta; Magnoliopsida; Sapindales; Rutaceae. The record is from RNAcentral.
GAUCAUCCCAUAUCUCACUGUUAUCGAAGACAUCAUCAAGCACAAUAAAGUACUUCUUGUUUGUUAGGUAAUCUCGAAGAAUAGAUUUCUUCAAUUGAUAAUUGAAAGAGUUUGUAUAUAGUGUUUGGUUUAAGAGAAACUAACAAGAAAAUAAAAGAAAAUCAUAAAGAACCAGAUCUGAAAAUGAUCAUAUUCUCAUUUUUUGACUAAUGAUUACAACUUGUUAUUUAUAGUAAAGAUCAGAGGCGUCACGUAGCUUGUCAGUUUGUUGGAUCUAAUAUGCAUGCAGUACAGUUCGUUAUCUUUGCUGCUGAGCUGGAUAACUAACUCAACACACGUAAGCAUCAGCAGCUCCAUUUAAUCAGAUGCUCUCAUCUAUACCAUAUUAUCAUACUCUAUAACAUCCUCCCUCAAGCUGAACUGACCUGGAUGGACAUUCAGCUUGCUUCUUAGAUAGUGAAACUGAUUGAAGGUUAGUGCCUUGGUAAGAACAUCGGCAUUUUGGUCUUCACUGGGAAUGAACUGAACUGUAAUUUGCUUAGCUGUUACUUUGUCUCUGAUGAAGUGAAUAUCAAGCUCAACAUGCUUAGUUUUAGCAUGAUAAACAGGAUUGUGAGCUAAAGCUAUGGCACUUUGAUUAUCACACCACAUUAUGGGGGCUGUGACAAGAUGAAUAUGUAGCUCUUUCAGUAAGGACUGAAUCCAAGUAACCUCAGCUGUAGCUUGAGCCAAAGCUCUGUAUUCAGCUUCAGUGCUUGAUCUGGAAACUACUGCCUGUUUCUUAGACGACCAAGAAACCAAAUUUGAACCAAGAUAAACAGCAUAACCAGCCACUGAUUUGCGAUCAUCCUUAUCACAUGCCCAAUCUGAGUCACUAAAACAAUUUAUCUGCAUAGUGCCGUAAUGAUAAAAAUGUAAUCCAAAAUGAAUUGUUCCUUUCAAAUAUCUAAGAAGCCUCUUACAAGCCUCCCAGUGCUCUGCUGUUGGUGAAGCUAAAAACUGACUAAGUUUGUUUACAGAGAAAGCUAUUUCUGGCCUAGUGAGAGUCACAUAUUGUAAAGCUCCAACUGCACUUCUAUAUUGAGAACUAUUUGAAAUAACACUUCCUGACCCCUUUGUAAGAUAAUGACCAGUGGCCAUGGGAGUAGGAACUGGACUGCAGUCAGCCAUAUUGUGUUUGGCUAGAAUAUCAGCUAUGUAUUUAGAUUGAGAGAGAUAAAUUCCAGAUGCUGUUUUGGUAACUUCUAUCCCAAGAAAAUAACUCAAUUUGCCCAGAUCCUUCAAAGCAAAAGCAUUUUGCAUAUUGGUAAUCACUUGCUGCACCAUUUGAUCACUUGAGCCUGUUAUGAUUAUAUCAUCCACAUAGACAAGAACAAAAAUUACUUGAUCACCUAUCCACUUGUAGAAAAGGGAGUUGUCUGACCUUGAAUUUUGGAAACCCCAUUUCACAACCAUAGCAUCUUUCAGUCUCUCAAACCAUGCCCUGGGGGCUUGUUUUAAACCGUAGAGAGCCUUUUUCAACUUACAGACAUGAAGAGGUCGAGAUGGAUCAAUGAAGCCCUCUGGCUGCCCCAUGUACACAUCUUCAACUAAUAUGCCAUUCAAAAAGGCAUUAUUCACAUCCACUUGUCUGAGCUCCCAUUUAUUCAUAACUGCCAAACUUAAAAUAACUCUGACUGUGGAUGCUUUAACAACUGGACUGAAUGUUUCUGUGUAAUCAACUCCUUGUGUCUGAUGAAACCCCUUAGCCACUAACCUGGCUUUGUAUCUAGAAAUGGUUCCAUCAGCAUGAUAUUUUAUCUUGAAUAUCCAUUUGUUACCAACUACCUUAACUGGUUCACUUGGCAAAACCAGAUCCCAUGUAUGAUUAUUCUGAAGUGCUUGAAAUUCUUCUUGCAUUGCCUUAAACCAUUUUGGAUUAGAUAAAGCAGCUGAAACAGAAGUAGGUUCUGAAGGUAUGGCUAGUAAAGCAGCUAAAUAAGAUUUAGGCUUAAAUAUACCAGCCUUGGAUCUGGUUAUCAUGGGAUGACCUAUAGGUGGUGCAGCAGGUAAUAUAUGAGGAGGAGAUUGUGUAUGAUGUAUAGGAUGUGUAUGUGAUGUCAAAGUAGAAGAUGAAGAGGAGGUUGAAGAAGGAGAGAAUACCUGUGGAGUGUCAGCAGGUAGGUAAUCACUUGCUAGAGAUUGUUGCAGGGGGGAUUGUACUUGUGGGAUUGGAACAAGAGUAACUUUGGACUCUGAAGAAAUAUCUGAGGGACUGCAAGACUGAGCAAUGGAAGAGAAGUCUAAUCCAGAUACAUAUGGAAAAGAUUGUUCAUCAAAGAUGACAUGAUUGGACACAUACACACGACCAGAUGAAUGAAGACACUGAUACCCUUUAUGAGAAGAGCUAUACCCAAUAAAAACACAUCUGUUUGAUCUAAAACUGAGCUUGUGUCUGUUAUAAGGUCUGAGAUAAGGAAAGCAAGCACAACCAAAGACCCUAAGAGAGACAUAAUCUGGUACUUGCUGAAAAAGUUUUUGGUAAGGUGAAAUGUAUUCAAAGUUGGUGUGGGUAGUCUGUUAAUAAGGAAUACAACAGUAUGAAAGGCAUUCCACCAGAACUUAAGUGGUAAAUUAGCUUGAGCUAACAGAGUGAGGCCAAUGUCCACUAUGUGUCUAUGUUUUCUCUCAAUUCUUCCAUUUUGAUGAUGGAUAUGUGGACAAGGAUGCCUGAACUGAAUUCCAAACUGAGUGAGAUAUGAUGCAAAGGUUCUAAACUCCCCUCCCCAAUCUGUUUGAACUGUUUUGAUGUGUUGUUGUAAGUGUUUUUCAAUAAAAGAUUUGAAUUCUGUGAAAACUUGGAGUGCAUCUGAUUUGGCAGUCAAAGGAAAAAUCCAUGUGAAUCUGCUAAAAUCAUCUAAAAUGGACAAAUAAUAUAUAUAGCCUUGAGUGGAUGCAACAUGUGAUGGUCCCCACAAAUCAGCAUAUAUAAGUUGUAAUGGUGCUGUUGUUUUUGUUGGAAUAGAUCCAAAAUGUAAAAGGUGACUUUUACCAUGUUGACAGGCAUUGCAAAAGUUUGGAGUUUUAUUGAGUACAUUGAAACUAUUACAAGCUUUCAAUACAGAUUUGAGUGUGUGUAAGGCAGGAUGUCCUAGCCUUUUAUGGAAAACAUUGACAUCGACUGAGCUAGUAUUGACAGCCAAGGCUGAUUUACACAGCAAAUGAUGAGACAAAGUACUCUUACUUAUUUCAGGAGAAAUAUCACUAGACAAAGGAGAAUGAAAAGCAAACAAAGACUGAGGUUUAUUGGAAGAAAGUUGACAAGACAAGGCUGAGCUAGUUUCAGAGACUUGAGCUGCAGAUUGGACUUGAUACAAUCCCCCUGUUGCAAUUCCUCUAAGCAAAGUGAUCCCUGAGUUCCUGGCCUUGACAACACAGACAUUUGCAAAAAACUCAAGUGUCACAUUAUUAUCUACUAAGAGCUUUGAAACACUGAGUAAAUUUUUCUUAAUAUUUGGAACAUGAAGAACAUGGUUUAAACACAAGGGUUUAUUUGCAGUAGUAGCUAGCAAUACUGAUCCAAUAUGCUGAAUAUGCAAUGCAGAACCAUUCCCAACAAGCAAUUUGUCAGUUCCAACAUAUGGCUUGAGAUCCAGUAAUUUACCUGGGUCAUUUGUGAUGUGGUUAGUAGCACCACUGUCAAUGUACCAAGCUGGAUCUUCAAUCAUCUCAGGUGCAUGAGCUGGAACAGGGACUGAAGGAGAUCCAGAGUAAUCUCCAGUAGGAGCAAAAGCAUGAGCAGGAGAGUAACCACCAUGAGAAUUAGAUGGUUGAUAAACAUUGAAAGCAGCUGGAUCUGAAUACAUCAAAUGGCCUUGAUAACCAGGUGCUCUUGGUAUGUUGAAAUUACCAAACUGAGAGUUACCAAUUCCAGCACCAUAUUGAGGAUUAAGAUUUCUACCAAAAUUACCAAAAUUUCCAUAAGCCAUAGAAGACCUAUUGCCAUUAGCAUAGCCAAAACCUCUACCAUACUGCCUCUGACCAGGCCUAAAAUUUCCAUUAAAACCACCUCUUCCUUGAUUUCUUGAAGGAACAAAAGCUGAGUUAAACCUAUUCCUGCAUUUAUUGGCACCAUGACCAGGAAUGAAAUAGAUCUGACAUACAAUUUGUGAGAAGUUACCAUCACUAGAUCCAGCUCCAGAAUUAUAACUUCCUCCAUACGAUCCAAUGUUAAACUUCUGAUUACCACUAGUGUUUUUACUAGGAUUGAACUGCUUUUGAGCAACAUUAGCUGACAAGUUAUGUGUAACAUCACUUGCAAUUUUUCCUCUCUUUUGUUCCACAUGAUUUUCAUGACUCAAUAACAAUGAAUAAAACUCAUCAAGACUGAUAUUAUCUCCUCUAGCUAACACAGUAGUAACUAGUGAUUCAUAAUCAGAGGAAUCCAAUCCAGUCAAAACAUGUUGAACGAAAUCAUUCACUUCAACAGGUUUUCCAGCUAAAGCCAAGCUAUCAGAUAUCCUUUUCAUUUUUGCAAAAUAAUCAGUUAUGGACAUCGAGCCUUUUUUAAGAGUUUGGAUUUGCAUUUUUAGAGGCAUUAUUCUAGCUUGUGACUGGGAAACAAACAUACUUGUAAGUGUAUCCAGCAGCUCCUUUGCAGUUGAGCAGUGGAUCACAGUUGUCAACAGAUUCGGCUGAAUAGAUGAGAGCAUCCAGCUCAGAAUCAAUUGAUCCGUCUUUAUCCACAUUGUGUAAGCUGGAUUGAUCUCUUGAUUCUCUGUUCCAGUUGAGAAACCAGCAGCAGAGCUUAUAGCAGAGAAAAAUUUUCCCGGACAGACUUGAUUUCCAUUGAUGAAAUCUUCUAAACCAUUUCCUUUAAUGGAUAUGAGAAUCUGAGUUCGCCAAACAAUGAAGUUAUUAUGAUCUAGUUUUAUCGGAGUAAUAAAACUAUAGGAUCCAGAAUUUUGAUUCGAAUUUGCCAUUUGUUAGCUCUGAUACCAUGAAAGAGUUUGUAUAUAGUGUUUGGUUUAAGAGAAACUAACAAGAAAAUAAAAGAAAAUCAUAAAGAACCAGAUCUGAAAAUGAUCAUAUUCUCAUUUUUUGACUAAUGAUUACAACUUGUUAUUUAUAGUAAAUAUCAGAGGCGUCACGUAGCUUGUCAGUUUGUUGGAUCUAAUAUGCAUGCAAUACAGUUCGUUAUCUUUGCUGCUGAGCUGGAUAACUAACUCAACACACGUAAGCAUCAGCAGCUCCAUUUAAUCAGAUGCUCUCAUCUGUACCAUAUUAUCAUACUCUAUAACAUCCUCCCUCAAGCUGAACUGACCUGGAUGGACAUUCAGCUUGCUUCUUAGAUAGUGAAACUGAUUGAAGGUUAGUGCCUUGGUAAGAACAUCGGCAUUUUGGUCUUCACUGGGAAUGAACUGAACUGUAAUUUGCUUAGCUGUUACUUUGUCUCUGAUGAAGUGAAUAUCAAGCUCAACAUGCUUAGUUUUAGCAUGAUAAACAGGAUUGUGAGCUAAAGCUAUGGCACUUUGAUUAUCACACCACAUUAUGGGGGCUGUGACAAGAUGAAUAUGUAGCUCUUUCAGUAAGGACUGAAUCCAAGUAACCUCAGCUGUAGCUUGAGCCAAAGCUCUGUAUUCAGCUUCAGUGCUUGAUCUGGAAACUACUGCCUGUUUCUUAGACGACCAAGAAACCAAAUUUGAACCAAGAUAAACAGCAUAACCAGCCACUGAUUUGCGAUCAUCCUUAUCACAUGCCCAAUCUGAGUCACUAAAACAAUUUAUCUGCAUAGUGCCGUAAUGAUAAAAAUGUAAUCCAAAAUGAAUUGUUCCUUUCAAAUAUCUAAGAAGCCUCUUACAAGCCUCCCAGUGCUCUGCUGUUGGUGAAGCUAAAAACUGACUAAGUUUGUUUACAGAGAAAGCUAUUUCUGGCCUAGUGAGAGUCACAUAUUGUAAAGCUCCAACUGCACUUCUAUAUUGAGAACUAUUUGAAAUAACACUUCCUGACCCCUUUGUAAGAUAAUGACCAGUGGCCAUGGGAGUAGGAACUGGACUGCAGUCAGCCAUAUUGUGUUUGGCUAGAAUAUCAGCUAUGUAUUUAGAUUGAGAGAGAUAAAUUCCAGAUGCUGUUUUGGUAACUUCUAUCCCAAGAAAAUAACUCAAUUUGCCCAGAUCCUUCAAAGCAAAAGCAUUUUGCAUAUUGGUAAUCACUUGCUGCACCAUUUGAUCACUUGAGCCUGUUAUGAUUAUAUCAUCCACAUAGACAAGAACAAAAAUUACUUGAUCACCUAUCCACUUGUAGAAAAGGGAGUUGUCUGACCUUGAAUUUUGGAAACCCCAUUUCACAACCAUAGCAUCUUUCAGUCUCUCAAACCAUGCCCUGGGGGCUUGUUUUAAACCGUAGAGAGCCUUUUUCAACUUACAGACAUGAAGAGGUCGAGAUGGAUCAAUGAAGCCCUCUGGCUGCCCCAUGUACACAUCUUCAACUAAUAUGCCAUUCAAAAAGGCAUUAUUCACAUCCACUUGUCUGAGCUCCCAUUUAUUCAUAACUGCCAAACUUAAAAUAACUCUGACUGUGGAUGCUUUAACAACUGGACUGAAUGUUUCUGUGUAAUCAACUCCUUGUGUCUGAUGAAACCCCUUAGCCACUAACCUGGCUUUGUAUCUAGAAAUGGUUCCAUCAGCAUGAUAUUUUAUCUUGAAUAUCCAUUUGUUACCAACUACCUUAACUGGUUCACUUGGCAAAACCAGAUCCCAUGUAUGAUUAUUCUGAAGUGCUUGAAAUUCUUCUUGCAUUGCCUUAAACCAUUUUGGAUCAGAUAAAGCAGUUGAAACAGAAGUAGGUUCUGAAGGUAUGGCUAGUAAAGCAGCUAAAUAAGAUUUAGGCUUAAAUAUACCAGUCUUGGAUCUGGUUAUCAUGGGAUGACCUAUAGGUGGUGCAGCAGGUAAUAUAUGAGGAGGAGAUUGUGUACACACUGAUCCAUGUACAACACAUCUCUUGAUUAUCUGUGUGUGUGCUGCUCAUCAAUGAUUAACAAGAUACAGUAGUUUUGUGAAGUCUCAUGUCUUGUGUUACAAAAUUUUGUGAUGGAAAGAAGGAAUAAUUCAACUAAAAAAAAAAAACACACGCGCGCAGCACACACACAGAGGGCCGCAACUAGCCCUUGAACCCCUAUUGAACUCGCACAAGAUACUAUUGAACUAAAUUCAAAAACAGCUGUUAAUAGCAUCUUAAAAUAUGGGUUCUAUCCAUACUCCCACCUGAAUCAUUUCUUGCGGCAUGACUCAAAAAUAACAAUAAGCCUGUCGCACCGAUAACUCAUUAGUGCAAUUUUUUUAACUCAAAAAAUUGAUACGCGUUCAUUUAGCGAAAAGUCCAAGACGCUUGCCUUUUGAAAAGAAGAGGUAUCCAAUAGAUAUCCAACCUUUAUCUUAUUUAAUUACUACCACGACAUGAUUGAUGGUGCUUAAAUCGAUUGUUUCUUUUUUAAUUUAAAGAAUUUUUCAUUAAAAAAUAUUUUAAUAUCAAAUUGCCUUCAAUAGCGUAACUGCCGCAGGCCCAGUAACAAGAUUAAUUAAAAUUUUUUGAAUUUUUGGGCAUGGAAAGAGUAGUAUUAGACUUCAGAAAGCUUAAGGUUGUUAUGUUAAAGAAUUGAUAUUGACAUAAUUUUAUUUUGGUUUUCGGGAAACAAAUUAUUUGUUGACAAGCAAGAAAAUAUUUUUGUAUUUUACAAUUUAUUAUACAUAUUUUAUCAUAUUAAAGUAAUUUUAAUAAUAAAUAGACACAUAAUAUUACAACAAAUAAAGUAAAGUUUAAAUUAUUUUGAAUAUUAUAAAAAUAAUUUUAAUAUUAUUAAUAGGAAGACAUUUUGUUAAUUUUAAAAUCUUUUUAACCUAAAGGUUUAUUUAAAAUCUUUAGAAAUCUCCAUCCCACAUCUACCCUAUUAAACAAGUUGAUGGAAAUUGAACAAUUGCUUUUUGAAGUGGACCCAUUGAGUUAUGUUCAUUACUGGUCAUUGUCUAUUCUUUCUAAGAGCCACUUGUUUUGAGCAUUAGCAAUCCUAUCUGGACUACUCCAAUUAUUGAUGUAACUCCAAUGGUUGCAUCAACAGUUGAAUGUAAGAUAGUGUUAGUUCUUUUUUGAGAAUAUAGAGGGAUCUUUAUUUGUUUCUCCGUUGUAGCGUAUUAGUAUAAAUUUCUUUACCUUACAGUUCCUACAGUCUUCCUGUUAAUGAAUUCGCUGAGGCAUUAUUGAUCCAAUCUCAGUGAAGUAAUUGUGGGUGAAAAAAAAAAAUAAAGGAUAAGAGAACGUAGCUGAAGUGCUGAAUUGACUAUUAAAGAAGAGCGUCACCUGAUCACAAUCACAUUGAUGCACAACUCACUCAGAUCAUUACAACGUCCUUUUCGCUAAUUAAUUAUGAUUAUAUACAUUUUCAUAUGGCAAGUGGCAUUGUAGAUCUAAACUACGUUGCUAUUUCAUUACGUUAAUUAAGUGAUUCUCCUCAUUGUCAUCAGCGCUUUUUGGGCAUGGAAAGAGUAGUAUUAAACAUUAGAAAGCAAAGGUUGUUCUGUCAAAGAAUUGAUAUUGGCAUAAUUUUAUUUUUGCUUUCGAGUAAAAAAAAAAAAAUUGUUGACAAGCAAGAUACUGUUUUUAUAUUUUACAGUCAGUUAUACAUAUUUUAUCAUAUUAAAGUAAUUUUAAUAAUAAAUGGAAACAUAACAUUACAAUAAAUCAAUUAAAGUUUAAAUUAUUUUGAAUAUUAUAAAAAAUAAUUUUAAUAUUAUUAAUAGGAAGAUAUUUUGUUUAUUGUAAAAUCUUUUUAACCCAAAGGUUUAUUUAAAAUCGUUAUAAUAAAUAAAAAUAUAAAAACAAAAUAAAUAUCAUAAUUUAAAAUUUUAAUAUUAUUUUAAAUAUUAAAAAUACUUUAAUGCUAUUAGUCUACUACCCAGGUUAUAUUACGUAUAUUAUAUUUGUAUAAAUUAAAACUUUUAAAGUUAAAUUUUUAAUUACUAUAUUGAAAAGUUAUUAUGGUUAAAAAAAGUUUUGGCAUUUCUUUUUGAAAAUUUGAGGGUCUGCAUGACAAUUUGUCCAAAUCCUAGAGGUAUAGGUGUCUUUUUUUUUUUUCGAUAAUCAUUUUACUUUUGAGGGAAUCCGAUGAGAAAUAAGAUAAGAGAAACGUCAAUUUAAGGUUCUCUAGGGAAAACCAAGAACUAUUCAAUUUUGUAUUUUUUGUUUGUAAAACGAAAAACAGUUUGCCAAAAAAGGUACCAAACAUAUCCUUAAUGUCUCACAUGAUUUCUUAUUAAGUCCAUACUCGAUAUAUUUAUACAUUUUAGGUAUUUUAGUUAUAAAAGAAGUUGGUCCUCCCUUUGUUUAUAAAAGGUAACUUUAUUUCGAGAUUACCACUAAAGUCUUGCAAAGAAUUAGUGUAAUGUUAAGAGAGAAUAACACAGUUUUCCAUUACCAUUUUGAAAAUAGAAAGAUGUGGAUGUGUGCAUUUAAUAUUGCGUUUACUUGCUGGAUUGAGGAAUCGGAAUCUAGAAUCGGAAUGAUUGAUGGUGUUUACUUUGCAAAUAUGGAGCAGGAAUCGGAAUUGGAAUGGUGGGGGCCACCACUAUUUGGGAAUGGGAGAUUGAUUCUCAUGGGGGAAGGUGGGAAUGAGUCUCCCAUUCCCUGGAUUGACCAUUUUGCCCUCCCUCAAAAUUAAAAAUGCCUACUUUGUCCUCUUUUAUAAUUAAUUAAUAUAAUAUUAUAAUUACUUAAUUAAUAUAUAAAUAUUUUAUUAACUAUAAUUAUUAAAAAUUAUAGUUCUUGAAUAAAUAAUCACAAUAAUUAAUUUAUUAUUAUUAUUGUUAUUUUAAUUAAUUAAUUAAUAUACUAUUAUAAUAAUUAUUAAUAUAAUUAAUUUAUAUAUUAUUAUUAUUAUUAAUGAAUUAAUAUAAUUAUUACUAUUAAUUAAUAUAUUAAUAUAUUAUUAACAAUAAUAUAUUAAUAAUUAUUGUUCGUGAAUAAAUAAUCACAAUAAUUAAUAUAUUAUUAUUGUAAUUAAUUAAUUAAUAUACUAUUAUAAUAAUUAUUAAUAUAAUUAUUAUAAUUAAUUCAUAUAUUAUUAUUAAUUAAAUUAAUAUUAUUAAAUAAAUAAAUAAUAUAAUUAUUACUACUAAUUAAUAUAUUAAUAUAUUAUUAAAAAAUAUUAAUAAUUAUAAUUUUUGAAUAAAUAAUCACAAUAAUUAAUAUAUUAUUUUAAUUAAGUAAUUAAUAUUAAUAUUAAUAUUAUUAGUUAAUAUAUUUUUAUAAUAAUUUUUAAUAUAGUUAUUAUAAUUAAUUAAUUUUUUUUACAAUUAAUUAAUAUAUUAGUUAAUAAUAAUUAUGACAAUAAUCCAUUAAGUACUUUUUAGUAAUUUGUUACAAUCUAAUUCAUUCCGAUUCCGAUUUCAAGACAAAGUAAACACAUUAAUGGCAAUUUAGCUCAUUCUGAUUUUGAUUCCUACAGUUCAAGUAAACAACUUAUUUUGAUUCCUAUUACAUAUUCCCAUUCCAACCCAUUCUCAUUUCUGUCCAUUCUCAUUUCUGCCCAUUCCGAUUUUAGCUCAUUCCGAUUUCAGUUUAGUAAACGCAGUAUAAGAGUUAUCAUGAAAAUCAUACAAUUCAAUUUCCUGAAAUAUAUAUUUUAUUCACAUGUGCCAAAAGAAUAAAUAGAUAGAAAGUAAAUUUACAAUCCUCACUCCCUCACAAUUGUUAAAGUGAAUAUGCAUUACAACUGUGAACUGUCACUACUUUAGCCCUUUUUUUUUUUUCAAUUAUAGUGUGAUGGAGACAGUGAACAUUAAGGAUAAAGUGCUCUGCUGAAAGCCAAACUUCCUUUGGCUAAUUAAUUUAGAAGUAAAGCAGAGAAUAAAGUCCUAGAUGCCUUCUGAAAUUAGAAAUACAUUUUAUAUGCUUUAAUUAUGAUUAUUUGGCAGACUAAAGACCUAAAAGAUAUGUCAAAAGUAUGAAACAGAGAGAUUAAAGAAAAAAGAAAAAAAAAAAAAAACAGAGUAUUUGUGACGUAGAAUAACAAUUGGUAAAUAAAUCCUAAAUAUUUGAGUUGUUAAAAGCAAAUAUAACAGAGACGGUAAGAGAGAUGCAGAAACAGAAAACUAUUAGCUUAUCUUGAUUUUCCCACUAUAUUCAUUUUCGAUGCUUUUCAAUCGAGAUUCUUUUAAUUCUUCUGGUGUCUGCAGCCCCGGCUCUUCUUAUAAAUCUCCAUCCCACAUCUGCACUACGAACAAGUUGACUGAAAUUAAAUAAUGUUGGAGAUGAGGGGUGAGCCGUCAACUUGUUAAAAAAAACUCAUGUAUAAUAUUAUCAAUAAUAUAAAAUAUAUAAUAAUUGUUACAAAGAAUCAUAAAUUAGAAAAAUUAAUUAUUUUACAAUCUAUUUCUUAAGUAAGAUAAAUCUUGUAAUAAGUUAAGUUAUAACGUAAAAAAUAUUUUCAAUUUAUAAUCAUUUAAGAAGUCAUUUAACAAUAAAAUCUUUCUUUUGAUCAUGUGGGCAUGCCAUAGAGUAUCAUCUAUAUUCGUGAUGAUAUUAUUAUUACUCAGUAUCCUAAAAAAAACACGAUUUAACAUUUAGAGAAAAUUCCUGCCUUUUAAAAAGAACAUGUAUGCAAUAGCUAGCCAUACUUUAUUUUACCACAACAAAAUUGAUGGUGAUUAAAUCAAUUUUCUCAAUUAAAGCAAAAUUUUAAAAAUUGAUUUAAUGCACAAAUAUGAUGAGUUUUUGUAAAAAUUAGUUUUGGAAAAUAUAGUGAGAGAAAAUGGUGACGAUUAUUUUCAGAUGUGCAAAUAGCCUAAACAUAAUCUCUAAUACCAAUAUCCAUGUGCAUCUUAAUACCUUUCAUGAUAUUCUUUCAUUCAUGGCCAUUUGUUCAAGAUUUGAAUUUGAUUAUUAAAUCAUGUUCAAUAAUGUUAGAGAUCCCAACAAUUGAAUACCAACUUAAAUCCCAAUGCUAUGUGUCAUUAACAAAUGUUGUGUCAUUUAUAAUUAUUGAAUGAAUAAUUCGUUAAUUUAUUGAUAAAUAAAAAUUUAUUAAUUUAAAGAGAGAUACUUCUUCUUUUUUUGUUUUAAGAAGAGUUUUGUUGGUACAUGUACAUACUUAUAAAGAAAUAAACUUGUAAUUAUACUAUAUCUUUCUUUCUUUGUUCAGUUUGGUGGGAUAUUGUGAUAAAUCAUUGGAUUAAAAUACAUUUCUAAAUUAAAACUUGUUAAAAUCUAAUUUAUUUGGGAAACGCAUAUUAUUUGUCAGUUGUACUUCUCAACUUAGCAAGUUAUUUCUAACUUGUCAGUCUCUAUUGGUUCUCUAAAAGCUAAUAGUCUCGAAUCUCCCGCAUUUGAUAUCUUGCCAUUACUGUUGGCAUUUGUUAAGUAUAGCUGAAGCUGGUGACGUGUAUAAGCUGCUGAUGAAGCUGCUGAGUUGGCUGGCUGGUGAUGUGUAUAAACUGAAGGUGCUGAGCUGGAUUGGGUUGUUGUUCACACCAACUAAAGAUGUAACAGAUUAUCCAGCUGGCUUGUUAUGAUUGGAAGUUAGAUUAGUUUGUUAAUACAGCAAACAAUGAGCUCUGUUUUGGUAGUUAGUUUUGAGUGUAACUAUAAAUACUGGCUAACAUGUUUUCAGUGUUAAGCUUGAGUUUUAAUCAAUAAAAAUCAAUUCAGUUAAAGUUUCUUUGUUAACUUUCUUUCACUUUCUCACUUGCCAAACAACCUAUUAAUUCUAAAAUGGUAUCAGAGCUUGCACCUAUGUCAGGAUCUAAUCAUAUAGCUUCCUCAUCACUUUCAUUCAAUUUUGUUCAACCUAUAAAACUCGAUAGAUCAAACUACUUGGUGUGGAAAGCUCAAGUUAGAACAUCGAUCAUUGCUAAUGGACUUGAGAGCUUCAUCAAUGGUGAGAGUGUAUGUCCAAAAUGUUAUCUCAUUGAUUCUAUUCAAGAACUUCAAAGAUCUGGAGCUGAAACAUCACAGAAGCAGGAAAAUCCAGAGUAUAUCUUAUGGAUGAAAACUGACAAACUUCUGCAGAGCUGGAUGCUUUCGUCAAUGGUGGACAAUGUAUUAAUCAUGGUGAUCAAUUGUGAAACAUCACUUGAACUUUCGGAGAUGCUUGCUAGAAUCUUCAUGUCACAAUCCAAAGCGAGAUAUCUGCCUUUGAAGAUGCAGAUUCAAUCAACAAAUAAAGGAUCUCUCUCCAUCAGUGAUUACUUCAAAAGGAUGAAGAAAAUUGCUGAUAGCUUGGCCAUUGGAGGUAAUCCAAUUACUUCGAAUGAACUGAUUAUUCACUUGCUUACUAGAUUGGAUGAAAACUAUGAAUCCAUAGUCACAAAUAUACUUACUAGACUGGAAAAAGAGAGACUUACUGCUGAAGAGGUGUACUCUAUGUUACUUAGUCAUGAAACUAGGUUGGAAAUGAGCAAAGGAAAAUCACAUAAUGAACCUCUGCAUGAUAUGACAUCAAAUUUUGCUCAGAAAGGCCAAGGUUAUAAUACUGGUCCUGGAAGAGAUGUUGUGUGUCAAAUCUGUUACAUUCCAGGCCAUGGAGCUUAUAAGUGUAAACAUAGAUUCAAUCAAGGGUUUAUUCCUAGAAACAAAGGCUUUGGUGGUUUCAGGCCAAGAGGUGGAGGUCAGAAUUAUAGAGGAUUCCCUAGAAAUAAUCAGAAUUAUUUUGGUAGAGGUUCUGGAUACAAUAGUUCUGCUUUUGGAUCUGGAUUCAGACCUAACUUUCCCAGGCAAGCCGGACCUACUGGACCUUUCUUUGGCUAUGUUGCCUAUCAGAAUCCAGGAUUCAUGAAUCCUCAAGGUGCCUUUGACUUUCCAAGUGCAAAUGGUGAUUAUACUGGUGUUCCAACAGCAAACAUGUAUGUUGGAAAUUAUGGCAUUCCUCAUAAUGUCUCUCCCUCUGCACAAUUGGCAAACUUCAGCAAUGUAGCUGAUUCAGCCUGGUACCUUGACUCUAGAGCAACAAAUCACAUUGCUCAAGAUGCAGGUAUACUUUCUAAGUGCUCAACUUACCAUGGCCUUGAAAAACUACAUGUAGGAAAUGGUAUGGGGCUGCCUGUUCAUAAUGUUGGUUUUGUUGCUGUUAAAACCUUGACUACAACACCUAUAUACCUAAAUCAUGUUCUGCAUGUCCCUAAAAUUACUAAAAACCUUAUCAGUGUUUCCAAAUUGCUUGCUGAUAACAAUGUUUUUAUUGAGUUUUACAACCAUGUUUGUUUUGUUAAGGACAAGAAUUCAAGAAUCACAUUGCUCAAGGGGAUUGUUAGAGGAGGUCUUUAUCAAGUUUCAAGCUUAAAUACAGUCUGUGAUAACUCCAGUUCAGUGUUCCCAGUGUCAACCACUUCUGAGUUUGUUUUUACUUCAAUAAGUACAUUCCCAGCAACUCCAGUGUCUAUGUUUACUCAACUAAGUUCAUUUGAUACUAAGUUUCACUCUUGUAUGCUUGUAAAUAAUUCUCAAAUCAAUAAGAAUGUCCCUGUGGCUCACUUUGCUUCAUAUAACAAGCCUAUUGAUUAUAGUUUACUGCACAAAAGAAUGGGUCAUCCAACUACUCAUGCUUUAAAACAGAUCAUGAAAUGCCUGAACUCAAAUUUUAUUCUUCCCAAAGAUUUCACAACACAGUUCUGUGAUGCCUGUCAACUAGGCAAGUGCCAUACGCAGCAUUUUCCCUCCAUAGAAACUUCAACCACUCAGCCCCUUGAAUUACUACAUGCUGACCUUUGGGGACCAGCUCCCAUUACCUCUUCACAAGGUUACACCUACUAUCUAUCUAUCUUAGAUGACUACACUCGAUACACUUGGAUUUUUCCUCUCAUUGCCAAAUCCAAAACCUUGUCAGCCUUUAUUGAAUUCAAAAACAUGAUUGAAAACUGCCUGAACUUGAAAAUUAAAUGUUUACAAACUGAUUGGGGUGGAGAAUUCAGGCCUUUUGUGUCAUAUCUUUCUAACCAGGGUAUACAAUUUUGACAUCCCUGCCCUUAUAUCCAUCAUCAACAUAUUACCUGAGAUUGGGAUUCAUUAAAAUCCUCAAUGUAAUCGGUGGAACGAAUGGAUUUCUUCUGUUCACCAAUCCACCAAAAUUUCUGUAAUUAAAUUCAAGAGUCAAGAUCUAUGCUUAUAAUCUAUUCAACAGCUAAUAUUCUAUUUUAUAUUUACUUAAAUAUGAAGAGCUAUGCUUGUCAUUAACUUCAAAUGUGAUCGAAGCAGCCUUACAUCUGUAUAUUACGUAUUCCCAACUUUUUUUUGACUUCAUUUACUUUCUUUUCAUGUUAUUUACUCUUUUUUCCCCCUCUCUGACAAUUGAGGUAGGGGGUCAAACUUGAAAGUAUCUUAAAAUCAAACAAUUUUUUUUUUAAGAUAGCUGCUAAUAUGCUCUAUUAGACAAUGAUAAGUAAUAACCUAGUUGUUUGCAUUAGAAAUGAUAUUUUUUGUGGUGCUGAUAAAGAGGUUGAUUAUGAUUCAACAAUUUAAAAUAUGAAAACAUGUGGAAGACGGCCGCAAUUAAAUUGAUUGUAUGAAAAUAUUUCAAUGAAAUUUUAAAAAUUUAGUACUUGUUAUCUUAUCGAGAGUUUUUUAAAUUUUUCUACUUGAACUUGACUGCUUUUGUAUUGAAUUCCUAGCGUUGCCAUUGCUUCUACUCAAAAGCCAUUUAGUUACUCAUGAAUUGUUGUUCAUAAUAGCAAUUUGAUUGAAAGUGCGGCUGCACUAAUUUUCUAGAUGAAUUUUUUCCUACAUGCUUGUUCUCGUAUGACCCAAAAUCCUGCUACAUCAGUUGUAUUAGAAAUUAAUCAACUGGGUUACAAUUAUGCAUCCCCACCAAUAUUUAAGCAAUUUAAUUACAGAAACAUUUCUUGAGGAAAGAAACUCAUAUCGCCACUAGGCUUUUAAUGAGGCUCAUUUUUAUGAAUCUGGAUGGCAUUAGAUAUCUCUCCGAAUAUUGGUGGGAGUAGAUAUGCUACAAAGUGUAUGUACGUUGACUCUCAAUAAAUACAAACGAUUCUCUGAUCUGAUUCAAAACAUCAGUACAUGCAUCAUUUUAAUGAGAAAGAAUAUUCUAAGAACGAAAUUGAAGGUGCAAUCAGCAGCUAAAAUGAAGCCAGAAAUGUACACGCAUGAGGAAGUUUUCCAAGAAGAUUGAUAUUUCUUUGACUAGCAAACCAUACAAGUCCAAAGCUAGCUAAACCAUACCUGCAAGUCGGGGGUUUAAAUGGAGUACUUCUAAGCAUAAAACAUUGAUUAAAACAGAAUACACACAUACAUACCAGCAAAUUCAAUAUAGCAAAAGGAGUGCAAAAGUUCAAGUUUGUAGACAACAUUGCAACCAUGGCAUGUUUAUAGCAAAUCCUCGAAAUCUGCUAAAUAAAACAAUGCCCUGUCUCAUGAAUCAAUGCUGAAUUAAAAUUGAAACUGAAAGUCUGGCUGGCGGUGUUUCCCUCUCCAAUUUUGCCUACAUAAGUGAAAAUAAGAAUAAUAAAUGGAAAUCUGCUUUUACAGUUCUUAUUAGAUAGAUAUAAAGGGAUCUUUCUUUGUUUCUCUGCUGUAAUUUGUGGCUAUGCCACUCUGUUUUUCCAGUCAAGCUGAGUCUACGUUGAGACAUAAUUUUGACAUCAGAAGCAACCUCAAUUAGUUUGGCAUUUUCAUGACCUCCUUGAAGGUUUUAUGAUAAACAUAAAUCCACUGAGAAAGUGGGAAAAAAAGAAAAUGCAUAUAAAAGUAUGAGUUAUCAGAUAAGAUUAAAACUCACCCAAUUCAAUCCAUCAGAUUCCGUAAGGAUAUAACUGGAUGUCAUACCGCCACUCCAUAUCCUCGAAAGUCCGUAGUCCUUGUCUCAACUGUGUCUGGGGCCAGUGUAAGUCCAAUUUGCGCAAGCUCUUUAUGCACCACAGCUCUUCUGGAAGCUUUCUCAAGUAAGCACAUGGGUUGACAAUUAAGCUUUCAAGUUUCGGCAUUGCUCCAGCCGCCAUCGUCCACUCAUCUAGCCAAUACAUUGAUUUCAGGUGCAAAACCUUAAGUUCGGGAAAGCUACUCAAGCCAACACAAGCAAGCUUUCUUCCUAAAUACGAGUUCUGCUUCAGUUUCAGCACUCGAAGGCGUGGAAGAUUUUCCAGAAUUGGCAUGGGAUCCUCCAUUAGCUCAGUAUUUGAUAAGCUCAGUUGGAUCAGACUUGGGGGAAAUUGGUAUUCAGACAGGACCAUCCGUGAGGGCUUGCUCUCAUUCACCAGCUUCAAGCAUUCAAGUUUGUGGAGUUCGCAAAGGCUUUUGGAAACCCCAGAUUGAUAGUAACUCAAAUCUCCAGAUAUCCGAAGAGUCCGAACACUAGGUAGUCUGCCCAAUAUAUCAGGAGUACAACUACUAGGGUUUAAAGCUGAUAUGAAAAUGAGAUUUUUCAGAGAGCUAGAAUAAUUUUUUGGAGGUGCGGGCAGAGUGAUGCAACCGAAGUUUAGAUGCAUGAGUUUUUGCAUCAUCCAAAUAUCCUCUGGUGACUGAUCUAUGUAGCUAGAUGGCAUUUCUAGUGUUUCAAGGUUUAAAAGGGUGCAUAGCAGUGAAGGAAGGCAUUUGAGCGAAGGGAUAUUCAAUUUCAAAUACUUCAAAAGAUAUAAAUUUUCUAAUCCGGGUGGAUAUUGGUCCAGGACUGCAGAACCCAUGUUCAAUACCCGAAGGUAUUUGAACCUUUUAAAAAAAUUCUCGCAAUCUUUCGGAUUAAGAUGAUUGCUUUUUGAACUGUGAUUCAGAAAAGAUUGGAGACACAUGUCAGAAUGUUCUAAAGAAAAGAACUCAAUCAGAUCAUCGUCAAUGACGCACCGUUUAACAUUUGCCACUGAUUCCUCUUCCACGUCAUGCAUCCAGACAAAUCCCGUCUUCAUUGCCACAAUAUACAAUGAAGUGUAUACAAAACUUGGAACAUAACACGCUUUAAUUGUGCCUCUGGCUCUUCUCUUACUCACUUGAAUGAAGCCGCGAUGGAUUAGUUCUUUCAAGUAAUGUUCGGCAGUUUCUUCACCGUUGUAUGGUAUGAAACCUUCAGCUACCCACAACUGAUAUAAUUGCUCCGUAGAUAUCUCAAUACUUGGAGGGAAGACAUACAAAUAGAUGCAGCAGACUUUCAAGUGAAAAGGCAACUCCAUCACAGAAAAAAUUUGUCUCCAAACUGUCAGAACCACUUCGCCUUGAAGAUAAUUUUCUAAUGGCAUACUUCCAUAGUGUAGGAUGAAAAAUUGCCAGGCCUCAUGCUUUAAUCUGAUCAAUGGUCCUCCAAAGAGCACUGAAUCACGCCGAAUCUUCUCUUCAUUUUCCAUUUCCAACGACGCAAUGAGGCCCGGAUCAGUGACUGUUAUCAAUACUCUGCUUCCAUUCUCAUCACCAGGAAGAAGUUCUUCGAGAUCACUCCAUAUCUCACUGUUAUCGAAGACAUCAUCAAGCAAAAUAAAGUACUUCUUGUUUGUUAGGUAAUCUCGAAGAAUAGAUUUCUUCAAUUGAUAAUCUUCACCGAUAAUUACACUAACCCGAGAUGGAGGCAUCACAGACUUGAUUAUGUCAUCCAACAUCUUGCCAAAAUCAUAGAAUAUAGAAACCCUGACCCAAGCAAGACAGUCAAAAUAGAACUUGACAUGGUUAUUAUUGUAAGUAUCUUCUGCAAAAGCAGUCUUAUCGAAGCCACUGCUGUCGAGAAUUGUAACCACUGCAAGCCGAGGGCGUCCUUCAAUCAAUAAAUCAAACAACUCCUCCCUGCCCCUUUCAAAUUCAUUGAUAUCAAGCCGAGGUUGUCCCUCACUCAAUAGGUGAAUGAUUUCGUUACUUUUUUUACUGAUAUCAAAACCAUUGUCGCCGGGUGGAAGUUGUUGCAUCCGAUUACUAAUAUCAAUGAUUUUACUGUGGAGACCAGCAAGAAGAGCCAUAUUAGUACUGCUUUCACUUUCGUUUUCACUGUUUUGCUGCUGCAUAAUGUUGAUGAAGAAUGUGUCAAUGGCUUCCUCAGAUUCAUGGACAAAGUCAUUGAUGUCCUUCACAAUGCCCAAAAGGUCCGCUCUUUCAACUUCUUCUUCAUCGCUUUCUUCUAAGUCCAACAGUUGCAAAAAAGGCAAAGAUAUUUUGGAGUCAUCGAAUUCUUCUCUAAUGAGUUGAAAGAAAUGCCGAGCCAUGUCAGCUUCAUAUUUUCCCAGCAGGGUAGUAGCAAUAAUUUCGGACUCCGUAAGAAGGUUUUGAAAAAGUGGGGUUAAAUUUGUUGAAUCAGGCAGCGUUAACGGGCCUUCUUCACCUGCUAACACCCUUUUCAACCUCUCACAAAACAGUCGGAGGUGGAAUUCCAGCAUAUCUCCUUCUCUCCGUAGCACUCAGAGGUAUAGCUGAAAGAUUAAACACCAUGGAAGAAUUUGAAAGGAAAAUGCCAAGACAUUAUUGCUCAUUUUUUAACUCAAAAGAUUGAUACGCGUUCAUUUAGAGAAAAGUCCAAGACGCGUGCCUUUUGAAAAGAACAGGUAUCCCAAUCGGUAUCCGACCGAUAUCUUAUUAAAUUACAACCAUGACAUAAUUGAUGGUGCUUAAAUCAAUUGUUUCUUUUUUAAUUUAAAGAAUUUUUCAUUAAAAAAAUAUUUUAAUAUCAAAUUGCUUUCAGUGGCGUAACUGCCUCAAGCCCAGUAACAGGACUAAUUAAAAAUUUUACAAUUUUUGGGCAUGGAAAUAGUAGUAUUAAACAUUAGAAAGGUAAGGUCGUUCUGUUAAAGAAUUGAUAUUGACAUAAUUUUUUUUGGUUUUCGGGGGAAAAAAAAUUGUUGACAAGCAAGAAAAUAUUUUUAUAUUUUAUAAUUUAUUAUACAUAUUUUAUCUUAUUAAAGUAAUUUUAAUAAUAAAUAGAAACAUAAUAUUACGAUAAAUAAAUUAAAGUUGAACUUAUUUUGAAUAUUAUAAAAAAUAAUUUUAAUAUUAUUAAUAGGAAGACAUUGUAUUAAUUUUAAACUUUUUUAACCCAAAGGUUUAUUUAAAAUCUUUAUUAGAAAUACAAAUAUAAAAUUAAAUAUCAUAAUUUAAAAUUUUUAAUAUUAUUUUAAGUAUUAAAAAUAUUUUAAUGUUAUUAGUCUACUACAUAGAUCAUAUUACUUAUAUAAUAUUUGUAUUAUUAAAAAUUGUUAAAAUCAAAUUUUUAGUUAGUAUAUUCAUGAGCUAUUAUGGUUAAAAAAAAAAAGACCUUAUUAUUACUUUUUUAAAAAUUGAGGGCCUGCGUGAUAAUUUUUUCAAAAAGAAAAUGCUUGGUAUGUAGGAGGGGUACAGAAACAGGACUCCCAAAAUCUCUCACCCUUUUUUAAUUAAAAAAAAAAAUUAAAAUAUCAAUAAAAAGUAAUAAAGAAAAUAGAAUUUUAUCUGCUCCUUACUCCAUUUUUGCAACUCUCUCACCAUCCCUAUCGAGCAGCCCUCUCUCUCACUGUCUCACUCACACAGUCCUUUUCACGAUUUGAAAUUCUUUGGCCCUCUGCAUUACAAGAAAUUAACGCUUUGGUUCUCCCAAGGGUAGAUUGGUUUUAUUGGGAAGCUAUUAAUUUUUUUUUUUUUUGAAUACUGAUUAAUCAUCAGAUUACUGCAUUACACAGAUAUUUACAACAACUGCUAUUGUAGCAGAGAUAUUAUACUGAUAUUUACAAUCAGAUAUACAUAAUUGGGACUUAUAUUAUGACAUUGAAUUCUAUGAAGUACAUGCCCAAACAAAUAACCCCUCACAGGAGAGGGAUGUCCAUACUCCACUCGCAUUUCGCAAGGGAGAAUGAUUUUUUGGAAGUAUAAAGAACAUUUAGCCCCCACAAUACUUUUGUGGGGGCUAGAACCGCUGCAGCAUUGUGAGGGCAGCAGCCCACCACUUCGGCCUUGGCCGAAGUGGCGGGAAGCUAUUAAUUAGAAGGAGGAAAAAGGACUAUAUUUAGAAUAUGAUUUGUUGGAGAAUCUCAGAGUUAGUCAAUUUUCAAGCCACACUUUCAAUAGCCAAUUGAUUUAGUAACCAUUAAUUACUUUAAUUUCCAUAAAUUGUAAUGACAGUGCAAAUGCAUCUGGUUGUGAUAGCUAAGGGUUAGCUUGAAGAAUUAAAUUUCAUAAGAUAUUACUGGAAAAUGCUUUGCAGAUAACGUGCUGCUUCCUUUGCUAGACUACAAUUUCAAAAAUCUCACGAGUUUUCCAUUGUUGUCACAAACCGAGAAAUUAUAAAAUACAUGGCCUGGUUCUUUGGCAAUGACCAUCUCAUCGUCGGCGGUCGUGUCGUCAUUGUCACUGUUCUUGCUCGACCGAGACAGUGAGAGAGAGGUUUGUUAGAUGGAGUUAGUGAGAGAGAGUUGUAAAGAUGGAAUGAUGAUAAAAGGAUUCUAUUUGUUUUUAUUGUUUUUUAUUAAUAUUUUAAUUUUUUAAAUUAAAAUGUGCUGCCGUUUCUCUAGCCUUUUUAGCUGCUUAACUUAACAGUAUUCUUUUCAAAAUUUAAGAAUGUAGUAGGUGUCCUUUUCUCUAAUAAUUUAUUUCAUUUUUAGGGAAUCCAAUGAGAAAUAUGAUAAAAGAACGUCAAUUACUUGUCGUUUUCAAUUUUUUCUAUAAGCUAUUUAUUUUGAGCAUUAGUGAUCUUGUCUGGACUACCCCAAUUAUUGACGUAACUCCAGUGGCUGCAUCCACUGGAAAAAGUGGAUGAGACCAUUUUUUUUUUCAUAAAGGUAACUACUCCAAUUAUUGACAUAAUUGAUGGUGCUUAAAUCAAUUUUUUCUUUCUUUUUUUUAAUUUAAAGAAUUUUGCUUUAAAAAAUAAUUAAUAUCAAAAUGCCUUCAAUGUUGUUACCGCCACAAGCCCAGUUAGAGGACUCAUUAAAAAUUUUAGAAUUUUUAGGCCUGGAAAGCAUAGUAUUAAACAUCAGAAAGCAAAGGUUGUUAUGUCGAAGAAUUGAUGUCGACAAAAUUUUAAUUUUGUUUUCGGAAAAAAAAAAAAAUUUUGUUGACAAGCAAGAAAAUAUUUUUUAUACUUUACAAUCUGCUAUACAUAUUUUAUCAUAUUAAAGUAAUUUUAAUAAUAUAUGGAAACAUAAUAUUAUAAUAAAUAAAUUAAAAUUACUUUGUAUUAUUGAAUAUUACAAAAAGAUAAUUUUAAUAUUAUUAAUAGGAAAACAUUUUUUAAUUGUAAAAUCUUUUUAAUACAAAAAUUCGUUUAAAAUCUUUAUAAUAAAUACAAAUAUAAAAUUAAAAAAUAUCAUAAUUUAAAAUUUUUAAUAUUAUUUAAAUAUUAAAAAUACUUUAAUGUUAUUAGUCUACUACAUAAAAUAUAUUAUUUAUAUUAUAUUCGUAUUGAUUAAAACGUUUUAAAGUCAAAUUUUUAAUUAGUGUAUUCAAAGGUACAAAAGAUUUAAGUAUUAUUUUUUAAAAAUUUCAAGAUACGAAUGAUAAUUUUUUCAAAUUUUAAAGAUGUAAAAAUCUUUUUUUCUGAUAAUUUAUUUCACUUUUGAGAGAAUCCGAAAACGUUAAUUUAACAUUCUUUACCUUUGUAAAAAAAGUGAAAAUCAAGAACUAUUCAAUUUUGUUUUUAUUUGUAAUUCAAAAACUUUAUUCAUUUUCGAUGCUUUUCAAAAGAGAUUCCUUUAAAUGUCUGCAGCUCCUGCUUUUCUCAUAAAUCUCCAUCCCACAUCUACACUAUCAAGUAUCAAACAAGUUGAUGGAAAUUCUUAUAAAAAAAAAAAAAAAAUUGAUGGAAAUUGAUCAAUUGCUUUUUGAAGUGGACCCAUUGAGUCAUGUUCAUUUCUGGUCAUUGUCUACUCUUUCUAUCAGCCAUUUAUUUUGACCAUUUGCGAUCUUAUCUGGACCUACUCCAAUUAUUGUUGUAACUCCGAUGGUUGUAUCUACAGUGGAAUGUAAGAUAGUGAAAGCUCUUUCUUUGAGAAAAUAGAGGGACCUUUCUCUGUUUCUCCGUUGCAACGUGCUCGUAUAAAUUUCUCUACCUUACAGUUUAUACGGUCUUGCUGUUAAUGAAUUCGCUGAGGCAUUAUUGAUCCAAUCUGAGUGAAGUAAUUGUGGGUGAAAAAUAAAUAAAGGAUAUGAGAACGUAGCUGAAGUGCUGAAGGGGCUAUUAAAGAAGAGUGUCACUUGAUCACAAUCACAUUGAUGCACAACUCACUCGUGGCAAAUUUCGACUAUACGUUCUGCAAAUUCAGCCAAACCAUACAUGCAUGAACAAAACUAAAAUGUAGUUCUAAUCACAACUGCAGUUAUGAUGUUUACCUCUCUGAUUUUUCUCCAAAACAAAUUCAGUUCAAAACAAUAAUCAAAAUAGCCACAUUUUGUUCGUCAAAAUAAAUGCCCAAAUUUUCAAUUAACAAAUCAUCUUCUCUAAACUAAAAAGCCCACAUCUCUAAAAUCAAUCUACAUAAUGUUGGAGAUGAGGGUUGAAUUGUUAACUCAGUAAAAAAAAAAAAACUCAUGCAUAAGAUUACUAAUAAUAUAAAUUAUAUAUUAAUCAUUAUAAAGAAUCAUAAAUUAGAAAAAUUAAUCAUUUUAUAAUUUAUUACACAAGUAAGAUAAAUCUCAUAAUAAGUUAUAACAUAAAAAACGUUAUCAAUAUAUAAUCAUUUAAGAAGUCAUUUAACAAUAAAAUCGUUCUUUGAUCAGUUGGCCAUGUCACAUAGUAUCAUCUAUAUUUAUGGUGAUACUAUUAUUACUCAGUAUUCUCAAAAAACAUGAUUUAACAUUUAGAGGAAAUUCUUGCCUUAAAAAAAAAACAUGUAUGCAACAGCUACCCAUGCUUUAUCUUACCAUGACAAAUAUUUUCUCAAUGAAAGAAAUUUUUUAAAAAAUUGAUUUAAUGCACAAAUAUGAUGAUUUUUGCAAAAAUUAGUUUUGGAAAACAUAGUGAGAGAAAAUAGUGACGAUUAUUGUUUAAAUGUAUAAAUAGCCUAAACAUAAUCCUUAAUACCAAUAUCCAUAUGCAUCUUAUCAUCUUUCAUGAUAUUCUUUCAUUUAUGUCCAUUGGUUCAAGAUUUGAAUUUGAUCAUUAAAUCAUGUUCAAUAAUAUUAGAGAUUCCAACAAUUGAGUACCAACUUAAAUCCCAAUGUUAUGUGUCAUUGACCAAUUUUGUGUCAUUGACCAAUUUUGUUAUUAACUAGGUGAUGAAUUUCUAGUUGAUAAAAUCACUUAAAAAUAUCUUAAAAAUUAGACAAUAGUUUGCUUAAUUUUUCCAAGUUAACUGCUCAAGAUGCUCUAUUAGAAAUGAUAACCUAAUUAUAUACAUAAAAAAUGAUGGAAAUUGAACAAUUGCUUUUUGAAGUGGACCCAUUGAGUUAUGUUCAUUACUGGUCAUUGUCUAUUCUUUCUAAGAGCCACUUGUUUUGAGCAUUAGCAAUCCUAUCUGGACUACUCCAAUUAGGAUAGUGUUAGUUCUUUUUUGAGAAUUUCUUUAUUUGUUUCUCCGUUGCAGCGUAUUAGUAUAAAUUUCUUUACCUUACAGUUCCUACAGUCUUCCUGUUAAUGAAUUCGCUGAGGCAUUAUUGAUCCAAUCUCGGUGAAGUAAUUGUGGGUGAAAAAAAAAAAAAAGGAUAAGAGAACGUAGCUCAAGUGCUGAAUUGACUAUUAAAGAAGAGCGUCACCUGAUCACAAUCACAUUGAUGCACAACUCACUCGAGGCAAAUUUCAUCUAUAAAUAAAAGAUCCCUUACUAUUCUCUUAACCCUGAGUUUUGAGAUAGAAAUUUCCCGAACUCCAACCCCACAUCCACAGACAAGUUGAUUGAAACAAUUGCUCUUGUAAUUAAGAGGAUGGGUUAGGGUUCAGUUCUUAUCAUUGUCUGUUAUUUCUUUGAAUCAUUAUCUUAAUUAAUUACAUCAAUUGUUUCUUUUUUUUAAUUUAAAGAAUUUUUCUUUAAAAAAAUAUAUUUUAAUAUCAAAAUGCCUUAAAUGGUAUUACUGCCGCAAUCCCAGUAACAGGAUUAAUUAAAAAUUUUAGAAUUUUUGGGCAUGGAAAGAGUAGUAUUAAAUAUCAGAAAGCUAAGGUUGUUCUGUCAAAGAAUUCAUAUUGGCAUAAUUUUAUUUUUGCUUUCGAGUAAAAAAAUAUAUAUAUAUAUAUUUGUUGACAAGCAAAAUACUGUUUUUAUAUUUUACAAUCAGUUAUACAUAUUUUAUCAUAUUAAAGUAAUUUUAAUAAUAAAUGGAAACAUAACAUUACAAUAAAUCAAUUAAAGUUUAAAUUAUUUGGAAAAUUAUAAAAAAUAAUUUUAAUAUUAUUUAUAGGAAGAUAUUUUGUUUAUUGUAAAAUCUUUUUAACCCAAAGGUUUAUUUAAAAUUGUUAUAAUAAAUAAAAUAUAAAAACAAAAUAAAUAUCAUAAUUUAAAAUUUUAAUAUUAUUUUAAAUAUUAAAAAUACUUUAAUGCUAUUAGUCUACUACAAAGGUUAUAUUACUUAUAUUAUAUUUGUAUAAAUUAAAACUUUUAAAGUUAAAUUUUUAAUUACUAUAUUGAAAAGGUAUUAUGGUUAAAAUAUGUUUUGGCAUUUCUUUUUAAAAAUUUGAGGGUCUGCAUGACAAUUUGUCCAAAUCCUAGAGGUAUAGGUGUCUUUUUUUUUCGAUAAUUCAUUUUACUUUUGAGGGAAUCCGAUGAGAAAUAAGAUAAGAGAAACGUCAAUUUAACGUUCUCUAUGGAAAACCAAGAACUAUUCAAUUUUGUAUUUUUUGUUUGUAAAACGAAAAACAGUUUGCCAAAAAAGGUACCAAACAUAUCCUUAAUGUCUCACAUGAUUUCUUAUUAAGUCCAUACUCGAUAUAUUUAUACAUUUUAGGUAUUUUAGUUAUAAAAGAAGUUGGUCCUCCCUCUAUUUAUAAAAGGUAACUUUAUUUCGAGAUUACCACUAAAGUCUUACAAAGAAUUAGUGUAAUGUUAACAGAGAGUAACAUAGUUUUCCAUUACCAUUUUGAAAAUAGAAAGAUAUGGAUGUGUGCAUUUAAUGGUGUGUUUACUUACCGGAUUGAGGAAUCAGAAUCUGGAAUUAGAAUGAUUGAUGGUGUUUACUUCGCAAAUAUGGAGCAGGAAUCGGAACUGGAAUGGUGGGGCCCACCACUAUUUGGGAAUGAGAGAUUGAUUCCCAUGGGGGAAGGUGGGAACGAGUCUCCCAUUCCCUGGACUGACCAUUUUGCCCUCCCUCAAAAUUAAAAAUGCCUACUUUGUCCUCUUUUAUAAUUAAUUAAUAUAUAAAUAUUUUAAUAACUAUAAUUAUUAAAAAUUAUAGUUCUUGAAUAAAUAAUCACAAUAAUUAAUUUAUUAUUUUUAUUUUUAUUUUAAUUAAUUAAUAUACUAUUAUAAUAAUUAUAAAUAUAAUUAAUUUAUAUAUUAUUAUUAUUAUUAAUGAAUUAAUAUAAUUAUUACUAUUAAUUAAUAUAUUAAUAUAUUAUUAAAAAUAAUAUAUUAAUAAUUAUUGUUCGUGAACAAAUAAUCACAAUAAUUAAUAUACUAUUAUUUUAAUUAAUUAAUAUAAUUAAUUUAUAUAUUAUUAUUAUUAUUAAUGAAUUAAUAUAAUUAUUACUAUUAAUUAAUAUAUUAAUAUAUUAUUAAAAAUAAUAUAUUAAUAAUUAUUGUUCGUGAACAAAUAAUCACAAUAAUUAAUAUACUAUUAUUUUAAUUAAUUAAUAUACUAUUAUAAUAAUUAUUAAUAUAAUUACUAUAAUUAAUUCAUAUAUUAUUAUAAUUAAUUAAUUAAAUUAAUAUUAUUAAAUAAAUAAAUAAUAUAAUUAUUACUACUAAUUAGUAUAUUAAUAUAUUAUUAAAAAUAAUUAUAAUUUUUGAAUAAAUAAUCACAAUAAUUAAUAUAUUAUUUUAAUUAAGUAAUUAAUAUUAAUAUUAUUAGUUAAUAUAUUUUUAUAAUAAUUUUUAAUAUAGUUAUUAUAAUUAAUUAAAUUUUGUUACAAUUAAUUAAUAUAUUAGUUAAUAAUAAUUAUGACAAUAAUCCACUAAGUAUUUUUGAGUAAUUUGUUACAAUCUAAUUCAUUUUGAUUCCGAUUUCAAGACAAAGUAAACACAUUAAUGACAAUCUAGCUCAUUCCGAUUUCGAUUCCUACAGUUCAAGUAAACAACUUAUUUUGAUUUUCAUUACCUAUUUACAUUCCAGCCCAUUCUCAUUUCUUCCCAUUCUCAUUUCUGCCAAUUCCAAUUCCAGCUCAUUCCGAUUCCAGUUUAGUAAACGCAGCAUAAGAGUUAUCAUGAAAAUCAUACAAUUCAAUUUCCUGAAAUAUAUAUUUUAUUCACAUGUGCCAAAAGAAUAAAUAGAUAGAAAGUAAAUUUACAAUCCUCACUCCCUCACAAUUGUUAAAGUGAAUAUGCAUUACAACUGUGAACUGUCACUACUUUAGCCCCUUUUUUUUUUUCAAUUAUAGUGUGAUGGAGACAGUGAACAUCAAGGAUAAAGUGCUCUGCUGAAAGCGGAACUUCCUCUGGCUAAUUAAUUUGGAAGUAAAACAGAGAAUAAAGUCCUACAUGCCUUCUGAAAUUAGAAAUACAUUUUAUAUGCUUUAAUUAUGAUUAUUUGGUAGACUAUUGACCAAAAGACAUGUUAAAGUAUAAAACAGAGCGAUUAAAGAAAAAAAAAGGAGUGUUUGUGACGUAGAAUAACAAUUUGUAAGUAAAGUCCUAAUUUGAGUUGUCAAAAAGCAAAUAUAACAGGGAAGGUAAGAGGGAUGCAGAAACAGAAAACUAUUAGCUUAUCUUGAUUUUCCCACUAUAUUCAUUUUCGAUGCUUUUCAAACGAGAUUCUUUUAAUCCUUCUGGCGUCUGCAGCCCCUGGUCUUCUUAUAAAUUUCCAUCCCACAUCUGCACUAGGAACAAGUUGAUUGAAAUUAAAUAACAUUGGAGAUGACGGACAGAUGAGCCGUCAACUUGGUAAAAAAACUAUGUUAAUAUUGUUAAUAAUAAAAAAAAAUAUAAUAAUCAUUACAAAGAAUCAUAAAUUAGAAAAAUUAAUUAUUUUACAAUCUAUUUCGUAAGUAAGAUAAAUCUUGUAAUAAGUUAAGUUAUAACGUAAAAAAUAUUUUCAAUUUAUAAUCAUUUAAGAACUCAUUUAACAAUAAAAUCUUUCUUUUGAUCAAUUGGUCAUGCCACAGAGUAUCAUCUAUAUUCGUGGUGAUAUUAUUAUUACUCCGUAUUCUCAAAAAACACGAUUUAACAUUUAGAGAAAAUUCCUACCUUUUAAAAAGAACAUGUAUGCAACAGCUACCCAUACUUUAUCUUACCACGACAAAACUAAUGGUGACUAAAUCAAUUUUCUCGAAUAAAGCAAAAUUUCUUAAAAUUAAUUUAAUAUACAAAUAUGAUGACAUUUUGCAAAAAUUAGUUUUGGAAAAUAUAGUGACAAAAAAUAGUAAUGAUUAUUGUUUAGAUGUGUAAAUAGCCUAAACAUGAUCCCUAAUACCAAUAUCCACGUACAUCUUAACACCUUUCGUGAUAUUCUUUCAUUCAUGGUCACUGGUUCAAGAUUUGAAUUUGAUCAUUAAAUCAUGUUCAAUAAUAUUAGAGAUCCCAACAAUUAAGUACCAACUUAAAUCCUAAUGCUAUGUGUCAUUGACAAAUGUUGUGUCAUUUUUUGUUAACUGAGUGAUGAAUUUCUAGUUGAUAAAAUUACUUAAAAAUAUCUUAAAAAUCAGACAAUAGUUUGCUUAAUUUUUUGAAGCUAACUGCUCAAGAUGCUCUAUUAGAAAUGAUAACCUAAUUAUAUACAUAAAAAAUGAUGUAUUUUUUGCGGUGUUGAUAGUGAGAUUAUCAUUCAACAUGUUAAAAUAUGAAAACAUAUGGAAGAAGGUUGUAAAUUGAUUGAAUGAAAAUAUUUCAGUGAAGUCUAAAAAAUUUGGUACUUGUUAUCUUAUCGAAAGUUUUCUAAAUUACAUUCGUGGCACUGCCACUGCUUCCAUGUGAAGGUCAUUAAAAUUUGUGUUAGUUACCUAUAUGUUGAAUAAUAAUUUUAUUCAUGAAUUGUUGCUCAAUAUAGCAGUUUCUAGAUGAAUUUUCCUACAUGUUUGUCCUCAUAUGACCUAGAAUGCUGCUAUAUCAAUUGUAUUGGAAAUUAUUCAAGUGGGUUUGUGCUCUAUACCCCCACCAAAAUUUAAGCAAUCUACAGAACAUUCCUUGUGGAAAGAAACUUAUUUCGCUACUAGGUGGGAGUAGAUUUCUAAGCUAAUGCUCGGCAGAUCUCUAGGCUAUACUAAAAAGUGUAUGCACUUUGACUCUCAAUAUAUACGAGUGAUUCUAUGAUGACUGAAAACAUCAGUACAUGCAUGAUUUUAUAAGAAAGAAUAUUCUAAAAUUAUUUAUGUAUCACCAUUUGUAGUUGUACCCUCUCGAAUGAAGGUGCAAUCAGCAACUAAAAUGAAGCCCGAAAUGUACACGCGUGAGGCAGUUUUUCUAGAAGAUUGAUACUUCUCAAACUAGCAAACCGUACAAGUCCAAAGCUAGAAAAGGAGUGCUUCUAAGCAGAAAACAUUGAUUAAAACAGAAUACACACACACAUACCAGUAAAUUCAAAAUAGAAAAAGGAGUUCAACUGUUCAAGUUUGUGGACAAUAUUGCAACCGUGGCAUAUUUAUAGCAAAUCCUUGAAAUCUGCUAAAUAAACAAUGCCCUGUCUCAUGAAUCAAAGCCGAAUUAAAAUUGAAAUUGAAAGUCCGGCUGGUGUUGUUUCCCUCUCCAGUUUUGCCCACAUAAGUGAAGGGAAAUGAGAAUCAUAAAUUAAAAUCUGCUUUUACAGUUUUUUAUUAGAUAGAUAUAAAGGGAUCUUUUUUGUUUCUCUGCUGCAAUUUGUGGCUAUCCCACUCUGUUUUGCCACUCAAGCUUAGUCUACGUUGAGACAUAAUUUUGACAUCAGAAGCAACCUCAAUUAGUUUGGCAUUUUUAUGACCUCCUUGUACGUUUUACGAUAAACAUAAAUCUACUGAGAAAGUGUGAAAAAAAGAAAAUGCAUAUAAAAGUAUGAGUUAUCAGACAUGAUUAAAACUCACCCAAUUCAAUCCAUUAGAUUCCGUAAGGAUAUAACUGGAUGUCAUACCGCCACUCCAUAUCCUCGAAAGUCCGUAGUCUUUGUCUCAACUCUGUCUGAGGCCAAUGUAAAUCCAAUUUGCGCAAGCUCUUUAUGCACCACAGCUCUUCUGGAAGCUUUCUCAAGUAAGCACAUGGGUUGACAAUUAAGCUUUCAAGUUUUGGCAUUGCUCCAGCCCCCAUCGUCCACUCAUCUAGCCAAUACAUUGAUUUCAGGUGCAAAACCCUAAGUUCCAGAAAGCAACCAGAGCCAACGCAGGCCAGCUUUCUUCCUAAAUACGAGUUCUGUUUCAGUUUCAGCACUUGAAGGCUUGGAAGCUUUUCCAGCAUUGGCAUGGGAUCCUCCAUUAGCUCAGUAUUCGAUAAGCUCAGAUGGCUCAGACUUGGAGGAAAUUGGUAUUCAGACAGGACAAUCCGUGAGCGCUUGCUCUCAUUCACCAGCUUCAAGCAUUCAAGUUUGUGGAGUUCGCAUAGGCUUUUGGAAACCCCAGAGUGAUAGCAACUCAAAUCUCCAGAUAUCCGAAGAGUUUGAACAUUAGGCAGUCUGCCCAAUAUAUCUGGAGUACAACUACUAGGGUGUAAGGCUGAUAUGAAAAUGAGAUUUUUCAGAGAGCUGCAAUAAUUUUUUGGAGGUGCAGGCAGAGUGAUGGAACCGAAGUUUAGAUGCAUGAGUUUUUGCAUCAUCCAAAUAUCCUCUGGUGAAUGAUCUAUGUAGCUUGAUGGCAUUUGUAGUGUUUGAAGGUUUAAAAGGGUGCAUAGCAUUGAAGGAAGGCAUUUGAGCGAAGGGAUAUUCAAUUUCAAAUACUUCAAAAGGAAUAAAUUUUCUAAUCCGGGUGGAAAUUGGUCGAGAACUGCAGAACCGAAGUUCAGUACCCGAAGGUGUUUGAACUUUUUACAAAAAUUCUCGCAAUCUAUAAGAGCGAGAUGAUCGCUUUCUGAACUGUGAUUCAGAAAAGAUUGGAGAUACAUGUCAGAAUAUUCUAAAGAAAGGAACUCAAUCAGAUCUUCCAAAAUGAAGCACCGUUUAACAUUUGCCAGUGAUUCCUCUUCCAUGUCAGGCGUCCAGACAAAUCUCGUCUUCUCUACUACCAAAGCCAAUAACGUAUAUACAAAACUUGGAACAUAACACGCUUUAAUUGUGCCGCCGGCGCUUCUCUUACUCACUUGAAUGAAGCCGCGAUGGAUUAGUUCUUUCAAGUAAUGUUCGGCAGUUUCUUCACCGUUGUAUGGUAUGAAACCUUCAGCUACCCACAACUGAUAUAAUUGCCUCGUUGAUAUCUCAUUGCAUGAAAGGAAGACACACAAAUAGAUGCAGCAGAUUUUCAAGUGAAAAGGUAACUCCAUCACAGAAAAAAGUUGUCUCCAAACUGUCGGAAUCGUUUCGCCUUGAAGAUAAUUUUCUAAGGGCAUACUUCCAUAGUGUAGGAUGAAAAAUUGCCAGGCCUCAUGCUUUAAUCUGAUCAAUGGUCCUCCUACGAUCACUGAAUCAAGCCGAAUCUUCUCUCCGUUUUCCAUUUCCAACAGCGUAAGGAGGUGUGGAUUAGUGACCAAUAUCAAUACUCUGCUUCCAUUCUGAUUAUCAGGAAGAACUUCUUCAAGAUCACUCCAUAUCUCACUGUCAUCGAAGACAUCAUCAAGCACAAUAAAGUACUUCCUGUUUGUUAGGUAAUCUCGAAGAAUAGAUUUCUUCAAUUGAUAAUCUUCCCCGAUAAUUACACUAACCCGAGAUGGAGGCAUCACAGACUUGAUUAUGUCAUCCAAUAUCUUGCGAAAAUCGUAGGCUACAGAAACCCUUACCCAAGCAUGACAGUCAAAAUAGAACUUGAUAUGGUUAUUAUUGUAAGUAUCUGCAGCAAAAGCAGUCUUAUCGAAGCCACUGCUGUCGAGAAUUGUAACCACUGCAAGCCGACGAUGUCCUAAAUCAAUAAAUCAAACAACUCCUCUCUGCCACUUUCAAAUUCAUUGAUAUCAAGCCGAGGUUGUCCCUCACUCAAUAGGCGAAUGAUUUUGUUUCUUUGUUCACUGACAUCAAAACCAUUGUCGCCGGGUGGAAGUUGUUGCAUCCGAUUACUAAUAUCAAUGAUUUUACUCUGGAGUCCAUCAAGAAGAGCCAUAUUAGUGCUGCUUUUACUUUCGUUUUCACUGUUUUGCUGCUGCAUGAUGUUGAUGAAGAAUCUGUCAAUGGCUUCCUCAGAUUCAUGGACAAAGCGAUUGAUGUCCUCCAGAAUUUCCAAAAUAUCUGGUCUUUUAACGUCUUCUUCAUCGCUUUCUUCUAAGUCCAACAGUUGCAAAAGAGGCAAAGAUAUUUUGGAGUCAUCGAAUUCUUCUCUAAUGAGUUGAAAGAAAUGCCGAGCCAUGUCAGAUUCAUAUUUUCCCAGCAGAGUAGUUGCAAUAAUUUCGGACUCCGUAAGAAGGUUUUGAAAAAGUGGGGUUAAAUUUGUUGAAUCAGGCAGUGUUAACGUGCCUUCUUCUCCUACUACCACCCUUUUCAACCUCUCACAAAAUAAUCGGAGGUGGGCGUCCAGCAUAUCUCCUCCUGUCUGUAGCAGCCAGAGGUAUUGUUAUUUGCUCCAAGAAAUGUUAAAAGGAUUGGUCCUACCUCAAAGUGGUUAGUGGUGUAAAAUUAAACACCAUGGGAGAAUUUGAAAGGAAGAUGCCAAGAAACUGGCAAAGUGGCUAAAUUCCACAAAUACGGCAUUAUUGCUCAUUUUUAACUCAACAAAUUGAUACGCGUUCAUUUAGAGAAAAGUCGAAGACGCGUGCCUUUUGAAAAGAACAAGUAUCCAAUAGGUAUCCAACCUUUAUCUUAUUUAAUUACUACCAUGACAUGAUUGAUGGUGCUUAAAUCAAUUGUUUCUUUUUUAAUUUAAAGAUUUUUUCAUUAAAAAAUAAUUUAAUAUCACAUUGCCUUCAAUGGCGUAACGGCCGCAAGCCCAGUAACUAGAUUAAUUAAAAUGAAAUUAUGAUUGCACUACUUUUUUAUUUAUUUAUUUAUCUAAUCACUAUAAAAUUUUAACAUAUUUUAUUUACUAUAUUUUUUUUAAAUUUGCAUCAAUUAGUCACUUUUACACUAAUACCGUUAAAUAAUUUAAACGGAAUGAUAAUUUUACCCCUAAAUAAAAUUAAAAGUUCAUUUUAUUUUAUAAAAACUUUGAAAAUAAAAAAUUAUAAUUAUAAAAUAUCCCUAAAUUUAAUAAAGAAAUAAAUCCCAAAAUUAGAAUGUUUAUUUUUAAUAAAAAUUAUUUUAAUAAAAAAUUAUAAUUAGAAAAAUAAUUACAAAAUUUUGGGAUUUAAUAAAAAUCCCCUAAAUGAUUAAAAUUUUAGGAUUUAUUUUUUAAUAAAUAAAUUCAGUUAUUUUAAUAAAAUUUUGCAAAAUUAUAAUUUUUAAUAAAUAAAUUCACUUAUUUUUAUUAUAAUUUUAAAAAAAUUUAAAUUUUUAAUAAAAAUAAUUAUUAAAAUUUUACAACAUCUAAAUUGAAUAAAAAUCAGCUGAGCACCUAUAUUUUGUAUUUAUUUUUAUUAAAUUUAGGGGUAUUUUUAUAAUUAUAAUUUUUUAUUUUUCAAAGCUUUAUAAGAUAAAAUGGUCUUUUAAUUUAUUUAGGGGUAAAAUUAUCAUUUCGUUUUAAUUAUUUAACGGUGUUAGUGCAAAAGUGGCUAAUUGAUACAAAUUUGAAAAGAAAUGUGGCGCAGAGAACAUAUUAAAAUUUUGUGGUGGUUGGAUGAACAUAAGGCAACAGAAAGGUGGUGCAAUAAUAAUUUCCCUAAUUAAAAUUUUAGAAUUUUUGGGCAUGGAUAGAGUAGUUUUAAUUAUGUUAAAGAAUUGAUAUUGACAUAAUUUUAUUUUGGUUUUCAACGAAAAAAAAUUUGUUGACAAGUAAGAAAAUAUUUUUUUUUUACUUUACAAUCGGUUAUACAUGUUUUAUCAUAUUAAAGUAAUUUUAAUAAUAAAUAGAAACAUAAUAUUACAAUAAAUAAAUUAAAGUUUAAGUUAUUUUGAAUAUUAAAAAAAUAAUUUUAAUAUUAUUAAUAGGGAGGCAUUUUGUUAAUUGUAAAAUCUUGUUAACCCAAAGGUUAUUUAAAAUCUUUCUAAUAAAUACAAAUAUAAAAUUAAAUAUCAUAAUUUAAAAUAUUUAAUACUAUAUUCAAUGUAAAAAUAUUUUAAUGUUGUUAAUAUACUACAUAGAUUAUAUUACUUAUAUUAUAUUUAUAUUGAUUAAAAAUUUUUAAAAUUAAUUUUCUAGUUACUAUAUUCAUAAGGUAUUCUGGUUAAAGAAAAUAUCUUGAUAUUACUUUUUGAAAAUUUGAGAGCCUGCAUGACAAUUUUUUCAAAUUUUAAGGAUGUAAUUAUCCUUUUUUCCAUAAUUUAUUUCAAUUUUGAGGGAAUCCAAUAAGAAAUAUGGCAGGAGAAUGUCAAUAGGCGAAUGAUUUUGUUACUUUGUUCACUGAUCUCAAAACCAUCGUCGCCGGGUGGAAGUUGUUGCAUCCGAUUACUAAUAUCAAUGAUUUUACUGUGGAGUCCAUCAAGAAGAGCCAUAUUAGUACUGCUUUCACUUUCGUUUUCACUGGUUUGCUGCUGCUUGUUGUUGAUGAAGAAUGUGUCAAUGGACAAAGUUAUUGAUGUCCUCCAGAAUUCCAAAAAUAUCUGCUGUUUCAACGUCUUCUUCAUCGCUUUCUUCUAAGUCCAACAGUUGCAAAAAAGGCAAAGAUAUUUUGGAGUCAUCGAAUUCUUCUCUAAUGAGUUGAAACAAAAGCCGAGCCAUGUCAGCUUCAUAGUUUCCCACCAGAGUAGUAGCAAUGAUUUCUGACUCCGUAAGAAGGUUUUGAAAAAGUGGUGUCAAAUUUGUUGAAUCUGGCAACGGCAACGCGCCUUCUUCACCUGCCAACACCCUUUUCAACCUCUCACAAAACAGUCGGAGGUGGAAUUCCAGCAUAUCUCCUUCUCUCCGUAGCACUCAGAGGUAUAGUUGAAAGAUUAAACACCAUGGAAGAAUUUGAAAGGAAUAUGCCAAGAAACUGUGUAAGUGGCUAAAUUCCACAAAUAUGACAUUAUUGCUCUUUUUUGAACUCAAAAAAAUGGUACGCGUUCAUUUAGAGAAAAGAACAGGUAUCCCAAUCGAUAUCCAACCUUUAUCUUAUUUAAUUACUACCAUGACAUGAUUGAUGAUGCUUAAAUCAAUUGUUUCUUUUUUAAUUUAAAGAAUUUUUCAUUAAAAAAAUAUUUUGAUAUCUAAUACCCUUCAAUGGCAUAUCUGCCGCAAGCCCAGAACAGGAUUAAUGAAUUUUUUUUUUAAUUUUUUGGGCAUGGAAAGAGCAGUAUUAAACAUCAGAAAGCUAAGGUUGUUCUGUUAAAAAAUUGAUAUUGACAUAAUUUUAUUUUGGUUUCGGGGAAAAAAAUAUUUUCUGAAAAGCAAGAAAAUAUUUUUAUAUUUUACAAUUUAUUAUACAUAUUUUAUCGUAUUAAAUUAAUUUUAAUAAUAAAUAGAAACAAAAUAUUACGAUAAAUAAAUUAAAGUUUAAAUUGUUUUGAAUAUUAUAAAAAAUAAUUAUAAUAUUAUUAAUAGGAAGACAUUUUGUUAAUUUUAAAUUUUUUUAACCCAAAGGUUUAUUUAAAAUCUUUAUUAUAAAUACAAAUAUAAAAUUAAAUAUCAUAAUUUAAAAAAUUUAAUAUUAUUUUAAGUAUUAAAAAUAAUUUAAUGUUAUUAGUCUACUAUAUAGAUCACAUUACUUAUAUUAUAUUUGUAAUGAUUAAAAAAUUUUUAAAUCAAUUUUCUAGUUAAUAUAUUCACGAGGUAUUAUGGUUAAAGAAAAGACCUUGGUGUUACUUUUUAAAAAUUUGAGCGCAUGCAUGAUAAUUUUUUCAAAAUUUAAGAAUGUAUGUGUCCUUUUCUCCAAUAAUUUAUUUCACUUUUGAGGGGAAUCCAAUGAGAAAUAUGAUAAGAGAAUGUCAAUUACUUGUCAUUUUCUAUUUUUUCUGUAAGGUAUUUAUUUUGAGCAUUGGUGAUCUUGUCUGGACUACUCCAAUUAUUGAUGGAACUCCAAUGGCUGCAUCCACAGUUGAAUAUAUGAUGGUGUUAGCUCUUACUUGAGAAUUCAGAGGGAUCUUUCUAUGUUUCUCAAUUGCAAUGUGCUAGUAUAAAUUUCUUUACCUUACAGUUUAUAUAGUCUUGCUGUUAAUGAACUCACUGAGGCAUUAUUGAUUCAAUUUCAGUGGAGCAAUCGCGGGUGAAGGAUAAAUAAAGGAUAACAGAACAGAGCUGAAGUGCUAAAUUGGCUAUUGAAGAAGGUUUUCACAUGAUCACAAUUAUGUAAAAUAAUCAUUUUUCUGAAAUUGUGUUUCCUAAAAUUAAUAAAUUUCCUUUUUUUUAAAAAAAAAAAAAAACUCUUCUACGACGUGGUUGCACAGCAAAUUAGAGAAUUAUAGGGUCUCUAAUCAAUACUCCAACCAAUAAUGAUAUGUGCACAAAAAAUAGUAUCAAUCACAACAAGAUUAAAAUUAAAAAAAGUAACUAUAAGAUGGAAAAAAAAAUUAUUACAAGAAAAUAAUUUUUUUGUCUUUUCUAUCUUUUAUACUAUUUUUGUUUAUAUGUACUCUAAAUUCAGCCAAACCAUACAUGCAUGAACAAAAAUUAAACCGUCGUUCUAAUCACAACAGUAAUUGAAGCUACAAAAGCCAGCAAAUCUGAACGAAGACUUAAAAGAAAGAUCUUAUUCAAGUUUGUCCCCAAAAGACAGCUGAAAUGAAAAAUAUUGACUAUUGAAUGGGUCAAUGCCGAAUUACAUUUCAAAUGGAAAGCUUGGCAGCAGUUACAAUGUUUCCCCCUCUGAUUUUCCUCCAAAACAAAUUCAGUUGUAAACAAUAACCGAAGUAGUAAUAAUUUAUUCAUCAAAGAAAAUACCCCCAAGUUUUCAACUAAAAAAUCCUCUUGUCCAAACUAAAAGAACUCAUAUCUCUAAAAUCUAUCUGCAAAAUGUUGGGAAUGAGGAGUGAUCUGUCAACUCCGUAAAUAAACUCAUGCAUAAUGUUAACAAUAAUGAUAAAUUACAUAAUAAUUAUUAUAAAGAAUCAUAAAUUGGAAACACUAAUCAUUCUACAAUCUAUUAUAUAAGCAAGAUAAAUCUCAUAAUAAGUUAAGUUAUAAUGUAAUAAAUAUUUUCAAUAUAUAAUUAUUUAAGAAGUCAUUUAACAAUAAAAUAAUUUUUUUAAAUCAGUUGAUCAUACAGCGUUAUCUAAACUCCUGACGAUAUUAUUAUUACUCACUUUUCUCAAAAAAAUAUGAUUAAUGUUUAGAGAAAAGUCAUGCAUUUUAGAAAAAAUAUGUAUACUAGCUAUCCGUACUUUAUCUUACCGUGACAAAAUUGAUGGUGAUUAAAUCUAUUUUUAAAAUAGAUUUAAUUCACAAAUAUGGUGACUUUUGGCAAAAAUUAUUUUCAGAAGAUAUAGUGGCAGAAAAUAGUGAUAAUUAUUGUUUAAAUGUGUAAAUAGCCUAAGUAUAGCCCAUAAUACCAAUAUCCAUUUGCACCUUCAUUUGGUUUAUCACAUUUCAUGAUAUUCUUUCAUUCAUGACCAUUGUUCAAGAUUUUAAUUUGAUUAUAAAUUAAGUUGCAAGGGAGCUUACUUCAGUCUCUAAGCUUUUCAAUCGUGAUUCCUGCAUGCCAACGUAACUGACCUUAUAAUUGGUCUGUAUAAGAAAUCAAGCCCUUUCAGGAUCGUUUUCUUUUUCUCCCUAUUGUAGUAGUCAACUAAAUAAAGAAUGAACAACUAAACUUGGUCUAUUUCGAGGAAGACUAAGGCUUCCAAUACUAGAUGAACUUUGAAGAAAAUUAAUCCGUUGUUUUUAUUCAUCUUUGGACUAUGAAUAUAUACAAAGACUUUAACAGAAAAUAACAAAGACACAGCUAAAUGCACUACUAAAAAAAUGAGUUUUACUGACACUAAUUUAGCGUCAGUAAUUACUUUUAUUGACACUUGUUAAUUGUGUCAGUGUUGCUCAAGCCAGAACACACUGACACUAAUUUUUGAUGUCAAUAAUUUUUGUGUCAGUAAUUUGUUUCACUAUAGUAUCACUAAAAUAAUGACACGAUGAUGUUGGUAUUUAAUAAUACUAUUUACACGUCAGUAAUUUAUGUGACUAUAGUAUCAAAAACUGACUCGAUAAUAUAAAAAAUUCUUAUUGUUAUUUUAAAUAUGUAGUGUCAGUAUUUAGUAAUGUUAUGCUGCUUUUGGUUAAUAGUAUAUUUUUUAUUUUAAUUAUAUUUUUCGUGUUUGUUGUACAACCAAAAGAAAACUCGAAAUAUAUUUAUUAUUAAAUAUCUUGCAACACAAUUCAUAUAAUAAACAUCUCAAAUACAUCACUUAAAUUCACACAAUUCAACUACAUCACUAUGUGUAAAAGACUUAACAUAAGUAUCAAAUUAAAUUUUCAACAAUCUCUAAACAACAAGUGCUAACUACUACUCAAUUAAGUUUCCAACCCAAAAGAAAAAAAAAAAAGCACAAGGUCACUCAAUAUCCAUCCACGGCUUCAUUUUGUUCCCACCUACAAAUGCAUAAAAUCAAUUAGUAUACUGUGAAAAAUAAAUCUUAGUUAUUUUGAAGCAAAAAUACUCAUAAAUUACUUCAACAUGGAAGAGUAGGAUUAAAAGAAGCAAGUUAAGGAAUCAGAAAAAGAAAUUGUAGAAUCUACACGUUCCCAAGUUAAUUACAGCCUGCAAUCAUGAUACCACAAAUUGCUUCACCAAAAGUAUUCUAUCAAGUAUUAAAGAGAACACUUAAUAAGUACAUCAAUAUUUAGUAAUGAUGACAUGAACAAUGGUGUCUACAACUUGACAAGCAUAAGUUAUUUUUUUUGUAAUCUAUUUCAUUGUCUAAAUUUAAAGUAAACAAUGCUAUAAUAUAUGAUCAAGUACAUUAAGUUAACAAGCACUAUAACAUUUAUUUAGCCCACAUUCAACGAUGAUCAGUUGGACCGAAAGCCAUAAAUUGAAAAACAAAAGAUAUUUAAUGAGCUUAAAGAGGAAAAAUAAAAGUUAACAAAAUUUAAACGACUAAUGAAGAAAUUAACCAAGCCGAGAUGAAAAACAGAAAUAGAAGGCCACUAUAAGCCAAACAUUACAAAUCAGGUUGCUUUUUAAGACACGAACCCAGUUUCCAAUUACAGUACUUUGCAAUUCUUUAAAAAAAAAAGGGUUUCCCAAUUACUAAAUCUUUUUAGGUUUGAAGUGGAUUGAUAAUUAAAUUGAUGAAAGAAAGGAAAGUGAAGCAAAAAUUAGAUUCAAGUAUGGGUCAAGUAAAAAAGUAAAAGAUAAAAAUCAGAUUCAGUGCAAACCUGGGUUUCAAAUGAUUAGCAAAGGAACAACUUCUUCUUUCUUCAAUCUAAUAUUCUUCUUCGAACAUGGAAUACUAACAAAAUACAAUUAGUAAUUCAUAAACAUAUAGUAAAAUGAGAUAGGUAUUUUUUGAGAGGAGAUUGAGAAAUACAUAUUUGAUUGAAGAAAGAAAACACAACAAAAAAAAAGGACCAGGUCUCCUCAAAGAAAAGCAAAAUGGGAAAAUAGGGGAAUAGUCUAUACAAAAGCCAACCCACCACCCUUGGAGGACCAUCCUUCUUCUGAGCAAAAAUCUAUACAAGAUUAGCCCAAACCUCCAAUAUAGUAAAAUGGGUUCGACAGACUAUUUCUAAUCUGUCAUUUGCAAAGUAAAGCUAAAAUUAGAAUUGUCUACUAACAACCUUCCUAUAGUUUGUCCACUAUAUUAUUACUAUAUUAUUAGAUGUAAAAUGCCCACUAUAAAAGGUAAUUAAUAGAGAAACUUCUCUGUAGUAUUUUCAUACCUGUGCCAAAACAGAGAAGAGAAAGAAAUGGUGUCUGACCUCGGUGGUAAAGGAACCGCUAUGGUAAAGGAUCGAACAUGGAUGAAAAAUAAACUUGUGCAAAUGGAGCCACCAGCAUUUUGCAAGAAUUAAAGAUUUUGGGUGAAAUCCUCUCUUAUAAACACUUAUUUGUAUUGGGAGCAUGCAUACUUCCGAGUAUGAUAUAAUUCUAUAAAAUUUAGACUCCUGAUAGAUAGAUAGAUAACACGUAUUAGCAUUAAUUAAAUGGAAGCAUCAACAAUAAUCAAUAAAUCAUUAUAGAAAAAAAAUUAAAAAUGAAAGGAGCUGAGGCACACCAUUGUGAUGCAAGAUUGACAAUCAAAAGAACCUUUCCUUUGUAGAUGCUAAGAUCAACAUCCUGUCCCUUCGCAUCCUGCAAAUAAGAUAAAUUUUUAUAAAAAUUAAAAAAUAUAUCUGUCAAAUCCCAAAUUGAAUUAAAAAUCAAAACAAGGGAAAGAAAAUGAAAGGAACAUGUCAUCAAAUUGUAGGUGGCUGGUGGUGCUUUUUAGUGAAGUGUUUGUAGAACUGUUAGAUGUAACCAUUCUUUACGCAUCAACUUCGCUAGUGAUUUGAUUUGAUGAAGAGGAUCUUUCCUUAUCUAGUUAUCUUCUUGUGUAGAUCCAUGUAGGAUUCCUUCACGAUUUCUUUUUUUUUUUUUUGGGGGGGGGGGGGGGGAGGUUUAAUUAACAAAACAAUAAGAGUAAAUGAGGAAUCAAUCCCUAAUUUAAGGCCUUCUAAGAUUGCUGAAGCUCUGCAUAAUCAAUGUCUCCAAGAAAAAGGUUUAUUUGCAGGCUGUAGCAGCAAUUUUCUUCCCCAUGAAAUCCAACUGAUCCAUUUGUAUUGAAUUUAAGCACACGCCUGAGGCUGGAAAAGACAAAGAAAUUAAUGAAAACAGGCUAUGUAUCUUUUUUACUUAUCAUUGCUCUAUGAAUUAAUUAUGCUACUAAUCACGACGCCGUUUAAAUCUUAGAACAAUAAUAAUCUUUUAGCAACAAAUAUGACGGUUCAAUAAUAUGUUCCGACUAGGGAUGUCAUAUUGUGAGGGCUGUUAAGUUUAAGAAACGAUCAAAUCUAAUUUUGUGUUCCAAAAACUCAUUGGCUUAACAGAUUAACUCCUCUGUAGUAUUUUCAUACCUGUGCCAAAAGAGAGAAGAGAAAGAAAUGGUUCUUGAUCUCGACGGUAAAGGAGCGGUGGCUGGCUGGGCUGAAGUUGAUGUGACGGCAUAAAAGCGGUAGCAGCGACAUACUGAAAGGUGGCUAGCUAGUCGUAGGUGGCUGAAGCUUGACAACAGUAGAGCAAAGGCGGCAGUGACGUCAAGGAACGGCGGCCGACAGCAGUGAAAGUCGAGGAGCAGCGGCCGGCAGCAGUGAAAGUCGAGGAGCAGCGGCCGGCAGCAGUGAAAGCCGAGGAGCAGCGGCCGGCAGUAGUGAAAGUCGAGGAGCAGGGGAGCGGUCGGCAGCAGUGAAAGUCGAGGAGCAGGGGAGCGGCGGCAGCAACUUAAGAAGUGGUGUGUUUGAUUCGGUUAGAUUUAGGGUUUCUUAUUUUCAUUUUAUACUUUGAAAAAUUAUACAGUGUAAUUGUUCGCAUUGUAAUUUAAUAAAACAACAAACUACAAGUCAACAUGUGGUCAAGUAAAAUUAUUAUUAUUAACAACGAAUUACAAGUUGACAUGUGGCAAAAUAAAAAAUAUUAUUCUCAAAACUAUUAUUAUUAUUAUUAUUAUUAUUAUUAUUAUUAUUAUUAUUAUUAUUAUUAUUAUUAUUAUUGUCCACAAAGUAAUUGUGUAAAAUUUAAUUAAAUAAAAAAAUUAAUCAAAUUGAAAAUUUAAAAACACAUGCAUCAAUGGUUUGCACUCUAAACUUACAAAUUUUAAGUUUAGAGAUCUUGAGUUCGAGUUCAAAUUAAAACAAAAUUAAUAUUAUUAUUUUUUUAUCACUGAUGCUUUAGUAUCAAUAAUCAUUGAAUUUUAAGCUACUGACACCUUAGUAUCAAUGAUUUAUGAUACAUACUUGUUAAAGGCGGAAAAUGGUCCAAACGUACACCAUUUCUGACACUUUUUACUAAGUGUCAGAAACAAAGUGUCAGUAAAUGUCAUUUUUGUAGUAGUGAUGAUAGCAAUAAGUGCUGACUUAGACACUUAGUGGACCGCUUCUACAAGUAAAUAAAAACUAAAUAUUUAUUUUGACUAUAACAACAACUACGCUGAUGAAUAGGAUUUCACAGCAGCCACGUGAGAACUAAUUUCUCCUUAAUAUUAUUAUUAGUAGAAGUAGAUUUUCAAACUAGUCUUGAUAUAUUUCAAAGUUGUAUUAUCAAUGUAUAUGUGUCUAGAUUGUAACUAUACUUUAAAAAAUAUAAAAUUUUUAAUUAUUGCACAAUAUAUGUAGAAAAAUAUCUAUAAAAUGAUAUUAUUAGGACUAAGAAUUUUUUAUUUUAUUUUAGAUAAGUUAUUUAUUUAUUAUCGAAUGAAUAAUUUAUUAAUUUAUUGAUAAAUGAAUAUUUAUUAAUUUAAAGAGAGAUUUUUUUGGUUUUAACAAGAGUUUGUUUGGUAAAUGUACACACUUAUAAAGAAACAUAAAAAGUGGUUCCUCAAGUCAAUAGUGUUUGCUUCAAUCGCAACGGUUCAUAAUAAUAUAGCUUAGUUAGGAAAUUUGUAAUUAUACUAUAACUUUGUUUGGUACAACUUUUCAAGUAAAACUUAUUUAAGUAGAGUUGUUAUUAGUAGAGCUUUUAUAAAUAAAGCUUUUACUAAAAAAAAUUUAAUUGUUUGGUUGUCAAUGUCCAAAUUGAUAAACUUUUGUUCUUUUGUUAAGAUAUGUUUGUUUUACUUAAUAAUAGCAUCGGCAAGAGUUUUCGAUUGUUGCAACUUGCAAUGCACGCGGUGAGAGAAAAUGAGAAUCUUGUUUAAUUGUCAAUAAUGACAAACCUAAUCCUUUCAUUAGGAGUAAUUUAAUAAUCGUUUGUUAUAACUGAAUAUGUAUAAAGAAAGGAAAAUUCUAUUCAUAGAUUUCGACUUAUUUUUUGUUUAAAGUAAUUAAUCAUUCAACCAUCUUCAUUUGCCUCUGGCCAAUGCCCUUGUAGAUUAGUUGAAGCGUUAAUUACUUAAUUAUGAUUAUAUACAUUUUCAUAUAGCAAGUGGCAUUGUAGAUCUAAACUAAGUUGCUAUUUCAAUACCAGCAAAUUCAAAAUAGAAAAGGAGUGCAACUAUUUAACUUUGUAGACAAUAUUGCAACCAUGGCAUAUUUAUAGCAAAUCCUUGAAAUCUGCUAAACAAAACAAUGCCCUGUCUCAUGAAUCGAUGCUCAAUUAAAAUUUAAAUUGAAAGUCCGGCUGGUGUUGUUUUCCUCUCCAGUUUUGCCUACAUAAGUAAAGGGAAAUAAGAAUCAUAAGUGAAAAUAUGCUUUGACAGGUCUUAUUUCUUUGUUUCUCUACUGCAGUUUUGCCUACUCAAGCUGAGUCUACGUUGAGACAUAAUUUCAGUAUUGAGGUAACAAUAAUUUCGGACUCCGUAAGAAGGUUUUGAAAAAGUGGAGUCACAUUUGUUGAAUCAGGCAACGUCAACGUGCCUUCUUCACCUGCUAACACCCUUUUCAACCUCUCACAAAAUAGUCGGAGGUGGACGUCCAGCAUAUCUCCUUCUCUCUGUAGCACCCAGAGGUAACAGGAUUAAUUAAAAAUUUUAGAAUUGUUGGGCGUGGAAAGAGUAGUAUUAAACAUCAGAAAGCAAGGUUGUUCUGCUAAAGAAUUGAUUUGUUGACAUAAUUUUUUUUUUUUUUUUUUGGUUUUCGAGGAAAAAGGCAUAUUUGUUGACAAGCAAGAAAAUGUUUUUGUAUUUUACAAUCUGUUAUACAUAUUUCAUCAUAUUAAAGUAAUUUUAAUAAUAAAUAGAAACAUAAUAUUAUGAUAAAUAAAUUAAAGUUUAAAUUAUUUUGAAUAUUAUAAAAAAAUAAUUCUAAUAUUGUUAAUAGGAACAUAUUUUGUUAAUUGUAAAAUCUUUUUAAUCCAAAGAUUUAUUUAAAAUCUUUAUAAUAAAUACAAAUAUAAAAUUAAAAUAAAUAUCAUAAUUUAAAAUUUUUAAUAUUAUUUUCAAUAUUAAAAUAUUUUAAUGUUAUUAGUCUACUAUGUAAGGUAUCAGAGCCAUACCCAUCCUUGAAUGGGUCAAUGCUGAAUUACACUUGAAAUGGAAAGCUUGCUGCAGUUACGAUAUUUCCCCCUCUGAUUUUUCUCCAAAACAAAUUCAGUUGUAAACAAUAACCGAAGUAGCAAUAAUUCAUUCAUCAAAGAAAAUACUCAAAUUUUCAACUAACAAAUCCUCUUAUCUAAACUAAUUAAAAAAAACUCAUAUCUCAAAAAUCUAUCUACAAAAUGUUGGAAAUAAAGGGUGAUCCGUCAACUCGAUAAAUAUACUCAUGCAUAAUGCUAACAAUAUGAUAAAUUACAUCAUAACUAUUAUAAAGAAUCAUAAAUUGGAAACACUAAUCAUUCUACAAUCUAUUAUAUAACUAAGAUAAAUCUUAUAAUAAGUUAAGUUAGAACAUAAUAAAUAUUUUCAAUAUAUAUAAUUAUUUAAGAAGUCUUUUAACAAUAAAUUUUUUUUCUUUUUCAGUUGAUCAUGUCAUAUAGCGUUAAUGGUGAUUAGUGACUGAUUACAAAGCAAAAUUGUUUAAAAUAGAUUUAAUGCACAAAUAUGAUGAAUUUUGGCAAAAAUUAGUUUCGGAAAUGUUGGGAUGAAAACCAUAUUAGUUGAGACUUAAAGUUACUUAAUAAAAUUAUAUCACUACCAUUCAAUGGAUGAAAACUAUUUUAGUUGAGACUUAAAUUUAGAUUUAAAUGUUGAGAUAUCUAGUAUUACUCAAUCAGAAUAAACAAGAACCAAUUCUGACUAUCAUGUAGAAGCAAAUAUUUAUGCUUGGAUUUUUUACUUCUUGAAUUUGAUUGGAAAAGUUUCUGAGACAGAGAAGUGUUUUGGAUAAUCUUUUUCGGGAUUGAAACCACAAAUUGGUCGAGGAAAUUAAUUUUGGACAAAUUUUUAUUGAGUUGUGCUAAACAUCAAGAAGGGCGAGAGAAUGCUGAGAGAAACGGCAGCUUUGUGCUGCUGUUUCGACUUCUCACUCUCUCGCCAUUCUAAUAAUUUUUUAUUAUUAAAAAUAAAAAAGCGGAGAAAAUGAUAGCAGACAACCCACAUCUACCAAAUCUCCAUCACUCCAUCACUCUCUUUCUCUCUCUCCCUCUCUUGAUUUUCAUCCUCUCUCUGGCUUCCUCACUCUCUACGGCUCCCCAUCAAGCUUCCUCAGUCUCUUCGGCCUCACUAUCUCUAGCCUCACUCUCUCCAGAUUCUUUCAUUUUCUCCUUUUUUUUAUAUUUUUAACAAUAAAAAAUUAGCAUUCUGCUGAGAAAGAGAGUGGUACACGACUCUUGAACAAUUUUUUUUCUGUCGUGAUCGUCUAUCAAACCACCUAAAAAUGAGCCAAGGGGGUUCUCAGCCCUAGCAGCUCACGUACUUUCAAGAUUUAGAGUAUGGUUCCAGUCCAAGCUAUUUAAUUAGUAUUGGGAUUCGAUUUAGUUGUUCUUCUAAUUUAAUAGGAUAAAGAAUUUAAUUGGAGAAAUGUCAUUAAUAUCAUAGGAGCAUAUAUAUUGUUUUGAUUUAAAUAUUGCUAUUUUUUUAUUGUUGAAAAAAAAAACACUAGAAAAUGGGAAGCCAAAAUCUUAGCCCUGUGUUUUUACUUUUACUUUUCUCUUAAACAUUUUAAAGAUGUAAAGGAAAAUGCUCAGAAUGGUGAGAGAGUGAUGGACGUGAUGGGCUAUCUUCUAUCCUUUUUUUAAUAAAUUUUUAAGAAUAAAAAAUUUAUUAAAACAGUAAGAGAGCGAAACCAAAACGGCAGCUUGUGCUGUCGUUUCUCUUAACAUUCUCUCGUCAUUCUUGAUGUUAAGCAUUUUCCAUUUUUAUUAUGUUGUAGCACCUUUUUGGUUCCUUUUGUGUCGGCAGCCCCUUACUAUUCUCUUAACCCUGAGUUUGAGAUAGAAAUUUCCCGAACUCCAACCCCACAUCCACAGACAAGUUGAUUCAAACAAUUGCUCUUUUAAUUAAGAGAAUGAGUUAGGUUUCAGUUCUUAUUGUUGUCUGUUAUUUCUCUGAAUCAUUAAUUUUGAGCAUUACUGAUCUUAGUUAUCUGUAUUUCUCCAAUUAUUGAAGAAUUUAUUAUUGAAUGAAUAAUUUAUUAAUUUAUUGAUAAAUGAAUAUUUAUUAAUUUAAAGAGAGAUUAUUUUGGUUUUAAGAAGAGUUUAUUUGGCACAUGUACACACUUAUAAAGAAACACAAAAAGUGCCUGCUCAAGUCAAUAGUUUUGGUACAUUUACACACUUAUAAAGAAACACAAAAAGUGCUUGCUCAAGUCAAUAGUAUUUGCUUUAAUCGCUAUAGUUCAUAAUAAUAUAGCUUAGUUAGGAAAUUUGUAAUUAUACUAUGGCUCCGAUUGGUACAACUUUUUAAGUAGAACUUAUUUAAUUAGAGUUUUUAUUAGUAGAGUUUUUAUAAAUAGAGAUUUUACUAAAAUAAAAUUUAGUUAUUUAGUUGUCAAUGUCCAAAUUGAUGAAAUAUUGUUCUUGUUAACAUAUGUUUGUUUUACUUAAAAAUAAAAGUUUAGUUUACAAUUACACCAGUAUAAAAUCAGCAGAGCAUUUUUGCUUAAAUAUUUAUUAAUUUAAAGAGAGCUUAUUUAAAUAGAGUUUUUGUUAGCAAAACUUUUAUAAAUAAAACUUUGCUUAAAAAAAUUUAAUUAUUUAAUUGUUAAUGUCCAAAUUGAUGAACUUUUGUUCUUUUGUUAACAUGUGUUUCUUUUACCUAAUAAUAAAAAUUAGUUUACAAUAACACUGGUGUCAAAUCAGCAGAGAUAUUUUCCAGCCAGUCACAUUAUACAUACGGGAGCCUCUAUGUUACAUUGAAUGUACCAUACACAACUAAUAAGAACCACAUAAAUUGUGGGACCCACAUAAUUGUGUGGUUCUUAUUGGUUGUGUAUGGUACAUUCAAUGUAACAUAGCAAAAUCCUAUACAUUAUACUAAUAGCAUCGGCAAGAGUUUUCGAUUGUUACAACUUGCAAUGCACGCGGUGAGAGAAAAUGAGAAUCUUGUUUAAUUGUCAAUAAUGACAAACCUAAUCCUUUCAUUAGUAGUAAUUUAAUAAUCGUUUAUUAUAAUUGAAUAUGUAUAAAGAAAGGAAAAUUCUAUUCAUAAAUUUCGACUUAUUUUUUGUUUAAAGUAAUUAAUCAUUCAACCAUCUUCAUUUGCCUCUGGCCAAUGCCCUUGUAGAUUAGUUGCAGCGUUAAUUACUUAAUUAUGAUUAUAUACAUUUUCAUAUAGCAAGUGGCAUUGUAGAUCUAAACUAAGUUGCUAUUUCAAUACCAGCAAAUUCAAAAUAGAAAAGGAGUGCAACUGUUCAACUUUGUAGACAAUAUUGCAAGUUGCAACCAUCCAAAGGUGAAGAUCUAUGCUUAUUAUCUAUUUAACAGCUAAUAUAUAUAUAUAUAUAUUUAUUUAAAUAUCAAGAGCUAUGCUUUUAAAUAAGUUCAAAUGGGAUGAGAACAGACUUAUAUUUAUUUAUUUAAAUAUGACCCAGGCUAAUUUCUCUGAAUUUGGACAGAGUAGAUUUCUAAGCUAAUGCUUGGCAUAUCUCUGGCGAUACUACAAAGUGCAUGUACAUUGACUCUUAAUAAAUAUAAACGAUUCUCUGAUAUGAUUCAAAACAUCACUACAUGCAUAAGUUAAUAAGAGACAAUAUUCUAAGAUUAUUUAUGCAUCACCAUUUAUAGUUGUACCCUCUCUAAUGAAAUUGAAGGUGCAGCCAGCAACUAAAAUGAAGCAGAAAUGUACACGCAUGAGGCAGUUUUUCUAGAAGAUUGAUAUUUCUUUAACUAGAAAACCAUACAAGUCCACAACUAGCCAAACUGUACCUGCAUGUGUCUAGGGCUUAAAUGGAGCACUUCUAAGCAUAAAACAGUAACUAAAACACAUACACAAACAUACAUACCAAAAAAUUCAGAAAAUAGAGAAAGGAAUACAACUAUUCUUGUUUGUAGACAAUAUUGCAACCAUGGCAUCAGUUAUAGCAAAUCCUUGAAAUCUACUAAACAAAAUAAUGUCCUGUCUCAUGAAUCAAUGUUGAAUUACAGCUGAAAUUGAAAGUCUGGCAUCAGUUAUAGGAAAUAUUGAAUUACAAUAUUUCCCUUGCCGAUUUUGUCUACACAAGUAAAAUGGAAAUAAGAAUCAUAGAUGAAAAUCAACUUUUACAGUUCUAAUUAUUAGAUAGAUACAGAAUGAUCUAUCUUUGUGAGUUUGUUUUUCUGCUGCAAUGUGCGAUCCCACUCUGUUUUGAUACUCAAAUUGAGUCUAUGUUGAGACAUAAUUUUGACAUUGCAAGCAAUCCCAAUUAGUUUGGCAUUUGUAUGACCCUUUGAAGGUUUUACAAUAGAUGCAAAUCUACUGAGAAAAUGGUAAAAAAGGUGCAUAUAAAAUGAGGCAAGUAACAGAAGUAUGAGUUAUCAGAUUAGAUUAAAAGUCACCCAAUUCAAUCUAUCAGAUUCCGUAAGGAUAUAACUGGAUGUCAUAUCGCCACUCCAUAUCCUCGAAAGUCCGUAGUCUUUGUCUCAACUCUGUCUGAGGCCAAUGUAAAUCCAAUUUGCACAAGCUCUUUAUGCACCAUAGCUCUUCUGGAAGCUUUCUCAAGUAAGCACAUGGGUUGACAAUUAAGCUUUCAAGUUUUGGCAUUGCUCUUGCCCCCAUCGUCCACUCGUCUAGCCAAUACAUCGACUUCAAGUGCAAAAUCUUAAGUUCCGGAAAGCCACCAGAGCCAACGCAGGCCAGCUUUCUUCCUAAAUAUGAGUUCUGCUUCAGUUUCAGCACUUGAAGGCGUGGAAGCUUUUCCAGCAUUGGCAUGGGAUCCUCCAUUAGCUCAGUAUUUGAUAAGCUCAGUUGGAUCAGGCUUGGAGGAAAUUGGUAUUCAGACAGGACCAUCCGUGAGAGCUUGCUCUCAUUCACCAACUUCAAGCAUUCAACUUUGUGGAGUUCGCAUACGCUUUUGGAAACCCCAGAGUGAUAGCAACUCAAAUCUCCAGACACUCUAAGAGUUUGAAGAUUAGGUAGUCUGCACAAUAUAUCUGGCGUGCAACUACUAGGGUGUAAGGCUGAUAUGAAAAUAAGAUUUUUCAGAGAGCUGGAAUAAUUUUUUGGAGGUGCAGGCAGAGUGAUGGAACCAAAGUUCAGAUGCAUGAGUUUUUGCAUCUUCCAAAUAUCCUCUGGUGUUUGAUCUACGUAGCUAGAUGGCAUGUCUAGUGUUUGAAGGUUUGAAAGGGUGCAUAGCAGUGAAGGAAGACAUUUGAGCGAAGGGAUAUUCAAUUUCAAAUACUUCAAAUGGAAUAAAUUUUCUAAUCCGGGUGGAUAUUGGUCCAGGACUGCAGAACCCAUGUUCAAUACCCGAAGGUGUUUGAACAUUUUACAAAAAUUCUCGCAAUCUAUCGGAUUAAGAUGAUCGCUUUCUGAACUGUGAUUCAGAAAAGAUUGGAGGUACAUGUCAGAAUGUUUCAAAGAAAAGAACUCAAUCAGAUCAUCGACAAUGAUGUACCGUUUGGCAUUUGCCAUUGAUUCCUCUUCCAAUCCAGGCGACCAAAAAAAUCCCGUCAAUGCUGCCGGCAAAAGUAACGCAACAUAUGCAAAAGUUGGAACAUAGCACGCCUUAAUUGUGCCUCCGGCUCUUCUCUUAUUCACUUGAAUGAAGCCACGAUCGAUUAGUUCAUUCAAGUAAUGCUCGGCAGUUUCCUCACUGUUGUGUGGUAUGAAACCUUCAGCUACCCACAACCAAUAUAAUUGCCUGGUAGAUAUCUCAAUGCCUGGAUGGAACAAACACAAAUAGAGGCAGCAGAUUUUCAAGUGAACAGGUAACUGCAACACAGAAUAAAUUGUACUCCAAGCUGUCAGAAACGCUUUUUCUCCCAUGUAAAUUCUUAAUGUCGUUUUUCCAUAGUGUAGGAUGAAAAAUUGCCAGGCUUCAUGCUUUAAUCUGAUCAAUGGUCCUCCAACGAGAACUGAAUCAGGAUGAAUCGUCUGUCCAUUUUCCAAUUCGAACGAGGAAAGGAAGUCUGGAUCAGUGACCGUCAUUAAUACUCUGCUUCCAUUCUGAUUCUCAGGAAGGACUUCUUCAAGAUCAUCCAAUACAUCGUCACUCUCUUCACAGUAAUCAUCAAGCACAAUAAAGUACUUCUUGUUUGUUAGGUAAUCUCGAAGAAUAGAUUUCUUCAAUUGAUAAUCUUCACCGAUAACUACACUAACCCGAGAUGGAGGCAUCACAGACUUGAUUAUGUCAUCCAAUAUCAUGCGAAAAUCGUAGGCUAUAGAAACCCUGACCCAAGCAUGACAGUCAAAAUAGAACUUGACAUGAUUAUUGUUGUAAGUAUCAGCAGCAAAAGCAGUCUUAUCAAAGCCACUGCUGUCGAGAAUUGCAACCACUGAAAGCUGAGGUUGUCCCUCGAUCAGUAAAUCAAACAACGCCUCUCUGCCGCUUUCAAAUUCACUCUUAUCAAGCUGAAAUUGUCCCUCAAUCAAUAAGUGAGUGAAUUCGUUCCUUCGCUCUUUGAAAUCAAAACCAUUGCCUCCAGGUGGAAGUUGUUGCAACCGAUUUCUAAUAUCAAUGAUUUUACUGUGGAUUCCGACAAGAAGAGCAAUGCAAGUAGUGCUCUCACUUUCACUGUUUUGCUGCUGCGUGAUGUUGAUGAAGAAUGUGUCAAUAGCUUUCUCAGAUUCACGGACAAAGUAAUUGAUGUCUUUCAGAAGUUCCCAAAUGUCUGUUCUUUUAACAUUUUCUAAGUGCAAGAGCUGCCGAUAACGCGAAGGCAUUUCGUCUUCAUCGAAUUGUUCUCUAAUGAGUUGAAUUAAAACUCGAGCCAUGUCAACUUCAUAUUUUCCCAGCAGAGUAGUAGCAAUAAUUUCGGACUCCGUAAGAAGGUUUUGAUAAAGUGGAGUUAAAUUUGUUGAAUCAGGCAACGUUAACGCGCCUUCUUCACCUGCUAACACCCUUUUCAACCUCUCACAAAAUAGUCGUAGGUGGACGUCCAGCAUAUCUCCUUCUGUCAGUAGCACCCAGAUGUAUUGUCAUUUGCUUCAAGAAAUGUUGAAAGGAUUGGUUCUAUCUCAAAGUGUUUAGUGGUGUAAAAUUAAUUAAUUAAACACCAUGGAAGAAUUUGCAAGGAAGAUGCCAAGAAACUGGCGAAGUGGCUAAAUUCCACAAUUAUGACAUUAUUGCUCAUUUUCAACUCAAAAAAAUGAUACGCGUUCAUUUAGAGAAAAGUCCAAGACGCGUUCCUUUCGGAAAGAACAAUUAUCCAAUAGAGAUCCAACCUUUAUCUUAUUCAAUUACUACCCUGACAUGAUUGAUGGUGCUUAAAUCAAUUGUUUCUUUUUUAAUUUAAAGAAUUUUUCAUUCAAAUUUUUUUUAAUAUUAAAUUGCCUUCAAUGGCAUUACUGCAGCAAGCCCAGUAACACGAUUAAUUAAAAAGUUUAGAAUUUUUGGGCCUGGAAAGAGUAGUAUUAAACAUCAGCAAGCUAAGGUUGAUAUGUUAAAGAGUUGAUAUUGACAUAAUUUUUAUUUUGGUUUUCGGGGAAAAAAAAUUGUUGACAAGCAAGAAAAUAUUUAUAUAUUUUACAAUUUAUUAUACAUAUUUUAUCAUAUUAAAAUAAUUUUAAUAAUUAAUGAAAAACAAAAUAUUGCAAUAAAUAAAUUAAUGUUUAAAUUAUUUUGAAUAUAAUAAAAAUAAUUUUAAUAUUAUUAAUAGGAAGACAUUUUGUUAAUUUUAAAAUCUUUUUAACCCAAAGGUUUAUUUAAAGUCUUUAUUAUAAAUUAAAUAUCAUAAUCUAAAAUUUUUAAUAUUAUUUUAAGUAUUAAAAAUAUUUUAAUGUUAUUAGUCUACUACAUAGAUCAUAUUACUUAUGUUAUAUUUGUAUUGAUUAAAAAUUUUUAAAAUCAAUUUUCUAGUUACUACAUUCACGAGGCAUUAUGGUUAAAGAAAAGAUCUUGAUGUUACUUUUAAAAAAUUUGAGGGCCUGCAUGAUAAUUUUUUCAAAAUUUAAGGAUGUAGGUGUCCUUCUCAAAUAAUUUAGGGUGAGGCUAUUUGAAUCCACCAAUCUACUCACUACACCCAUUUACUAAAUAAACCCGCACUUAAGUUUUGAAAUUUUAAAUUUUACUCAACAAACCGACCUAAAUGUCCAAUAUACCCUUAUUGAACCCAAUUAUUAUAAUAAUAUGUUUUUGCUAAUUAAACCCAUUUAAUUCAUUUAAAGUUAAUAAAUGAUUAUAUUUAUUAAAUUGAAAACUAAAAGAUUAUACAAAACAUAAACAAUACUCUCAAUUAUAUAUUUUGGAGCAAAAAUUCCAAAGUGUAGUAAGCAAAGCCAAUGCAAAAUGGCUGGAGCAGCUAAUAAUGGUAAAAGUCAGAGCCUAGUAAUGUGGUACCGCUACUUGACUUUGGGAAAGAAGUGAUAAUUAUAUCAAUUUCUUCAACUUGGAAGUUGGAAGUGCUGUUGAAAGCGGUUGAUGCCAGAAAAAUAAUUAGAUAUCUGUCAAAAAAAAACUUUGGUAUUUUUAGAAAUAAAAUCCUAUAUCCAGUAUUUCAAUAUGAAAAGUCUCUAGUAUUUCUUUCAAUUGAUUCUUCCUUUGUCUUCUUCGACUCCAUGAAGGUUUAAUUAUGAUGAGAAAGCCAAGGGGAAUCAAUAAAGAAUAUCAAUUUAGGGUUUAAGAAAAAUAUCAUAAAGUUGAAUGUAAAAUGGAUUCAAAGAGUAAAUUUUAUUUUUAAAACUAUAUUUUAAUGUCUAAAAUUGUAAUUUAAUUUAGGGAUAUUUUAAUAAUUACAAUUUAUUUUUAAAAGUGAGUUUAUUAAGUAGUUUGAUGGGUUCAAAUAGUCCCAUCCAAUAAUUUAUUUCACUGUUAAGGGAAUCCAAUGAGAAAAAUAAUAAGAUAUCGUCAAUGACUUGUCAUUUUCUAUUUUUUCUAUGAGCUAAUUAUUUUGAGCAUUAGUGAUCUUGUCAGGACUACUCCAAUUAUUGAUGCAACUCCAGCGGCUGCAUCCACAGUGGCUACUCCAAUUAUUCAUGCCUUUUAAAAAGAAUAUGUAUACAAUAGCAAUCCAUACUUUAUCUUACAUUGAUUUUUUUCAAUUAAUGGUGAUUGCAUUGAUUUUUUUCAAUUAAAGAAAAAUUGUUUAAAAUAGAUUUAAUGCACAAAUACGAUGACUUUUGGCAAAAAUUAGUUUCGGAAAUGUUGGGAUGAAAACCAUAUUAGUUGAGACUUAAAUUAAGAUUUAAAUGUUGAGAUAGUAUUGCUCAGUCAGAAUAAACAAUAACCAAUUCAAAUUAUGACUAUCACGUAAAAACAAAUGUUUAUGCUUGGGUUUUUUACUUCUUGAAUUUGAUUGGAAAAAUUUCUGAGACAGAGAAGUGUUUUGGAUAAUUGUUUUGGGGAUUGAAACCACAAAUUGGUCGAGGAAAUUAAUUUUGGACAAAUUUUUAUUAUAUUGUAGCACCUUUUUGGUUCCUUUUCGGCGGCCCCAUACUAUUCUCUUAACCCUGAGUUUUUUUUUUUUUUUUUUUUUGAAAAGUCUUAACCCUGAGUUUGAGAUAGAAAUUUCCCGAACUCCAACCUCACAUCCAGGGACAAGUUGAUUGAAACAAUUGCUCUUUCAAUUAAGAGGAUGAGUUAGGUUUCAGUUCUUAUCAUUGUCUGUUAUUUCUUUGAAUCAUUAAUUUUGAGCAUUACUGAUCUUAGUUAUCUGUAUUUCUCCAAUUAUUGAAGAAUUUCAUGUGGCCACUUUUUCUCCUUUUCAUAUAUGUUUCGUUUUUGGACUGAUCAAACGGUGCAAAACCAAGUAUUUGCUGGUCCUUAGUUUAGCCAAUGAUGGCUGAUCCACAGUUGAAUAUAUGAUACUAUUAGCUCUUAUUUGAGAAUGUAAAGGGAUCUUUCUUAUUUGAGAAUACAAGUUGCCCAAUAGAGUUGAACUAUGUUACCCAACUCCAUGCUCAUACAUUAAAUGUUUAGGUAGUUUUACAAAAUGAUAGCAGCAUGCCAAAACUUGUUGUUGUCAUUUUCGACAUUUCAAAUUGAAAAAUAUGCAAGCAAUCUUCAGUGAACAUUACGUUUUUAUUGAAUAAUUUAAAUGGCCAGCAAAUCAACAGUCCGUGAGUUUUAAAUCUAUUAUGACUUAAUGUAUCUUUCUGUAUUCGUACACAGGUUAUAUUAUCAUAGUUUAAAAUUUUAAUAUUAUUUUAAAUGUUAAAAAUACUUUAAUGCUAUUAGUCUACUACACAGGUUAUAUUAUUUAUAUUAUAUUUGUAUUAAUUAAAACUUUUAAUGUCAAUUUUCUAAUUACUAUAUUGAAAAGGUAUUAUGGUUAAGAAAAAGUUUUGGCAUUUCUUCUUGAAAAUUUGAGGGUCUGCAUGACAAUUUUUCCAAAUUCUAAGGGUAUAGGUUUGAAAAUUUAAUGUUCUUUAACUUAAUGAAACAAAAGGGGGAAACCAAGAACUAUUCAAUUUUGUAUUUUUUGUUUGUAAUUCAAAAAAUGCAUCCACCAAACAAGUUUUACGCAUUAAUGCUGUCAUAAAACAAAAAACAGUUUGCCAAAAAAUGGUACCAAACAUAUCCUUAAUGUCUCACAUGAUUUCUUAGUAAGCCCAUAUUAGAUAUAUUUAUACAUUUUAGGUAUUUUAAUUAUAAAAGAAGUUGGUCCUCCCUCUGUUUAUAAAAGAUAACGUUAUUUCGAGAUUACCACUAAACUCUUACAUAGAAUUAGUGUAAUGUUAAGAGAGAGUAACACAAUUUUCCGUUACCAUCUUUGAAAAUAGAAAGAUAUGGAUGCGUGCAUUUAAGGGUUAUCGUGAAAAUCAUACAAUUCAAUUUCCUGACAUAUAUAUUCGUGCACAUAUGCCAAAAGAAUAAAUAGACAGAAAGUAAAUUUACAGUCCUCACUUCCUCACAAUUGUUAACGUGGAGACAUUAAGGAUGAGCAUAAAAGUUAAAGAUGACUCAUUUCUCAUUUUCUUUUUAAAGUGCUCUGCUGAAAGCCAAACUUCCUUUGGCUAAUUAAUUUAGAAGUAAAGCAGAGAAUAAAGUCCUAGAUGCCUUCUGAAAUUAGAAAUACAUUUUAUAUGCUUUAAUUAUGAUUAUUUGGUAGACUAAAGACCUAAAAGAUAUGUCCAAAGUAUAAAACAGAACGAUUAAAGGAAAAAGAAAAAAAACAGAGUAUUUGUGACGUAGAAUAACAAUUGGUAACUAAAAUCCUAAAUAUUUGAGUUGUUAAAAGCAAAUAUAACAGAGAAGGUAAGAGAGAUGCAGAAACAGAAAACUAUUAGCUUAUCUUGAUUUCCCACUAUAUUCAUUUUCGAUGCUUUUCAAACGAGAUUCUUUUAAUCCUUCUGGCGUCCGCAGCCCUUGCUCUUCUUACAAAUCUCCAGUCCACAUCUGCACUACGAACAAGUUGAUUGAAAUUAAAUAAUGUUGGAGAUGAGGGGUGAGCCGUCAACUUGGUAAAAAAAUUCAUGUAUAAUAUUAUCAAUAAUAUAAAAUAUAUAAUAAUUAUUACAAAGAAUCAUAAAUUAAAAAAUUAAUUAUUUUACAAUCUAUUUCUUAAGUAAGAUAAAUCUCGUAAUAAGUUAAGUUAUAACGUAAAAAAUAUUUUCAAUUUAUAAUCAUUUAAGAAGUCAUUUAACAAUAUAUUUUUUUUAUCAGCAGGCCAUGCCACAAAGUAUCAUCUAUAUUCGUGGUGAUAUUAUUAUUACUCCGUAUUCUCAAAAAACAUGAUUUAACAUUUAGAGAAAAUUCCUGCCUUUUAAAAAGAACAUGUAUGCAACAACUACCAAUACUUUAUCUUACCACAACAAAACCAAUGGUGACUAAAUCAAUUUUCUUGAUUAAAGCUAAAUUUCUUAAAAUUGAUUUAAUGCACAAAUAUGAUGACUUUUUGCAAAAAUUAGUUUUGGAAAAUAUAGUGAGAGAAAAUAGUGACGAUUAUUGUUUAGAUGUGUAAAUAGUCUAAACAUAAUCGCUAAUACCAAUAUCCAAGUGCAUCUUAACACCUUUCGUGAUAUUCUUUCAUUCAUGGUCACUGGUUCAAUAUUUGAAUUUAAUCAGUAAAUCAUGUUCAAUAAUAUUAGAGAUCCCAACAAUUGAGUACCAAUUUAAAUCCUAAUGCUAUAUGUCAUUGACCAAUAUUGUGUCAUUUUUUGUUAACUGGGUGAUGAAUUUCUAGUUGAUAAAAUUACUUUAAAAUAUCUUAAAAAUUAGACAAUAGUUUGCUUAAUUUUUUUAAGCUAACCGCUCAAGAUGCUCUAUUAGAAAUGAUAACCUAAUUAUAUACAUAAAAAAUGAUGUAUUUUUUGCAAUGUUGAUAGUGAGAUUAUCAUUCAACAUGUUAAAAUAUGAAAACAUAUGGAAGAUGGUUGUAAAUUGAUUGAAUGAAAAUAUUUCAGUGAAGUCUCAAAAAUUUGGUACUUGUUAUCUUAUCGAAAGUUUUCUAAAUUAUAUUCGUGGCACUGCCACUGCUUCUAUGUGAAGGUCAUUAAAAUUUGUGUUAGUUACCUAUAGGUUGAAUAACAAUUUUAUUCAUCAAUUGUUGCUCAAUAUAGCAAUUUGAUUGAAAGUGCCGCUGCACUAAUUUUCUAGAUGAACUUUCCUAAAUGUUUGUCCUCAUAUGACCUAGAAUGCUGCGAUAUCAAUUGUAUUGGAAAUUAUUCAAGUGGGUUAGUGCUCUACAUCCCCACCAAAAUUUAAGCAAUCAACAAAACAUUCCUUGUGGAAAUAAACUUAUUUCGCUACUAGACUUCUAAUGAGGCCCAUUUUCCAGAAUCUGGAUACGAGUUAGAUGUCUCCCAAAAUAUUGGUGGGAGUAGACUAUACUAGCACUCGACAACAUACUAACGACGCUAUGGUCCACCAGAAAGACCGGUCUCCGGUCAGCCGAAAAAUCUCACGUUCAGUCUCUUCUCAAUCUCCCUUCUCCCAGCCAAGUCGAUCCCGUAACAUGAUACUAAUCCACAGUUGAAUACAUGAUACUAUUAGCUCUUAUUUGAGAAUAUAAAGGGAUCUUUCUUAUUUGAGAACAUAAAUUGCCCAAUAAAGUUGAACUACGUUACCCCGCUCCAUGCACAUACAUUAAAUGUUAACAGCAUGCCAAAACUUGAUGUUGUCAUAUUCGACAUUUCAAAUUAAUAUGCAAGCAAUCUUCGGUGAACAUUACGUUUUUAUUGAAUAAUUUAAAUGGCUAGUAAAUCUAGAGUUCUUGAGCUUUAAUCUAAAUCAAAUCUAUUAUGACUCAAUGUAUUUUUUUGUGUUCGUACCAGUAAUGCAGGGGAUUAUUUACGCAACUCUUAUUAUUGACUGAGAUGUUCACCUUCAUCCAAUUAGAGAAAGAGUGACUGUAGAGGUGGCAAAAAUACCCGCCCGGUCCGGACCCGGACCGUACCCAUUACCUGGUCCGGGUAUGAAGCCGGGUCGGUCUUGGGCAUCACUUGAUAAACCUGGAACCCGGAUUUUAUUAAAAAAAUUAUAAAAUAUAUAUUAUUUUAAAUAUUUUAUAUUUAUUUGACUCAUUUAUUAUACAUAUAUAAAGUUUUAAACACUUAAAGUUUAUAUUUUCAUGUCAAAUUUUAUUGAAAUAAAUUUAAAACUUAUAAAAUUACUAAAAAAUAAAAAAUAUAUACACAUAAAAUAUUAAAAAAUAUAAAAUUCGGAUACCCGGAUUAAAACCCGGCCCGAACCCGGACCCAGACCGGUUGCAUCCGGGUAGGGUCCAGUCAUGGCAAUACUCGGACCUGGUCCGGGGUUUUGCCAUCUCUAAGUGACUGGGUUCCUAUAAAGGGACUCUUAACCAUUACGAGAGUAUUCAGACUACAAAUCUUUGUAAUUAAAUUCAAAGGUGAAGAUCUAUGCCUAUUAUCUAUUUAACAACUAAUAUAUAGUUAUCUAUUCAUUUAAAUAUCAAGGGCUAUGCUAAUAAUUAAGUUGAAAUGUUGAUGAAAGUAGCCUUACAUCUGUGUAUUACUCAUCUACUCUAAUCUUUUUUUUUUUUAACUUAAUGUACUUUUUCUAAUGUUGUUUACUCUUCCCCCCCCCCCCCCCCCCCCCCCCCCCCCCCCCCCCCCCCCCCCCCCACCUCUCUGACAAAAUAAUAAGAGUUUAGACUUGAAAAUAUCUUAAAGAUCAAACAGUAAUUUACCUAAUUUUUUGAAGCUAACUGCCAAAGAUAUUCUAUUAGACAUUGAUAACGUAGUUAUAUACAUUUAAAAUGAUAUUUUUUUGUGGAAAGGGAUUAUCAUUCAACAUCUUAAAAUAUGAAAACAUAUGGAAGAUGAUUGUAAAUUGAUUGAAUGAAAAUAUUUCAAUGAAGAUGGUUGUAAAUUGUUAUCUUAUUGAAAGUUUUCUAAAUUUACUACUAUUUGAACUUAGCCCUCCUGGUACCGCCACCAUUUCUGCUUGAAAGUCAUUUAAGUUUGUGUUAGCUGCCUAAAGCUUUUUUUUUUUUUUUUUUCUUUUUCUUUUUGAAAAGAGCUGCCUAUAGCUUGAAUAACUAUUUUGCUCACGAAUUGUUGUCCAUUAUAGCAAUUUAUUUAAUUGAAAGUGCGGCUGCAAUAAUUUUCUUGAUGAACUAUUCCACAUGUUUGUUCUCAUGUGAGGCAGUUUUUCUAGAAGAUUGAUAUUUCUUUAAGUCUUUAACUAGCAAAGCAUACCAGUCCAAAGCUAGCCAAACCAUACCUGCUGGUCCAGGGCUUAAAUGGAGUACUUCUAAGCAUAAAACAGUAACAAAAACACAAUAUAUGCAUACAUACAUACACACAUACAUACAUACCAGCAAAUUCAAAAUAGAAAAAAGAGUGCAACUAUUCAAGAAAUUGGUUAUUGUAGACAAACACACAUACAAACACAUACCAGAAAAUUCAAAAAAUAGAGAAAGGAGGCCAACUAUUCAAGUUUGUAGACAAUAUUGCAAUCAUGGCAUUACUUAUAGCAAGUCCUUGAAAUCUACUAAACAAAACAAUGCUCUGUCUCAUGAAUCAAUGUUGAAUUACAGACGAAAAUGAAAGUCUAGCAGGUGUUGUUUCCCUCUUCGAUUUUGCCUACACAAGUAAAGGGAAAUAAGAAUCAUAAAUGAAAAUCAGCUUUUACAGUUGUAAUUAUUAGAUAGAUCUAGAACGAUCUUUCUUUGUUUCUCUGCUGCAAUGUGCUAUCCCACUCUGUUUUGCUACUAAAAUUGAGUCUAUGUUGAGACAUAAUUUCGACACUAGGAGCAACCGCAAUUAGUUUGGCAUUGCAUUACCCCUUGAAGGUUUUACAAUAGUUGUAAACUUACCGAGAAAGUGGAAAAAAAAGGGCAUAGGGAAUUAGGCAAGUAACUAAAGUAUGAGUCAUCAGAUAUGAUUAAAACUCACCCAAUUCAAUCCAUCAGAUUCCGUAAGGAUAUAACUGGAUGUCAUAACGCCACUCCAUAUCCUCGAAAGUCCGUAGCCUUUGCCUCAACUCUGUCUGGGGCCAGUGUAAGUCCAAUUUGCGCAAGCUCUUUAUGCACCAUAGCUCUUCUGGAAGCUUCCUCAAGUAAGCACAUGGGUUGACAAUUAAGCUUUCAAGUUUUGGCAUUGCUCCUGCCCCCAUCGUCCACUCAUCUAGCCAAUACAUUGACUUCAGGUGCAAAAUCUUAAGUUCCGGAAAGCCACCAGAGUCAUCACAGGCCAACUUUCUUCCUAAAUACGAGUUCUUCUUCAGUUUCAGCACUUGAAGGCGUGGAAGCUUUUCCAGCAUUGGCAUGGGAUCCUCCAUUAGCUCAGUAUUUGAUAAGCUCAGAUGGCUCAGACUUAAAGGAAAUUCGUAUUCAGACAGGGCAAUCCGUGAGAGCUUGCUCUCAUUCACUAGUUCCAAGCAUUCAAUUUUGUGGAGUUCGCAUACGCUUUUGGAAACCCCAGAGUGAUAGCAACUCAAAUCUCCAGAUAUCUGAAGAGUUUGAACAUUAGGUAGUCUGCACAAUAUAUCUGGCGUGCAACUACUAGGGUGUAAGGAUGAUAUGAAAAUAAGAUUUUUCAGAGAGCUGGAAUAAUUUUUUGGAGGUGCAGGCAGAGUGAUGGAACCAAAGUUCAGAUGCAUGAGUUUUUGCAUCUUCCAAAUAUCCUCUGGUGUUUGAUCUACGUAGCUAGAUGGCAUGUCUAGUGUUUGAAGGUUUGAAAGGGUGCAUAGCUGUGAAGGAAGACAUUUGAGCGAAGGGAUAUUCAAUUUCAAAUACUUCAAAUGGAAUAAAUUAUCUAAUCCGGGUGGAUAUUGGUCCAGGACUGCAGAACCCAUGUUCAAUACCCGAAGGUGUUUGAACAUUUUACAAAAAUUCUCGCAAUCUAUCGGAUUAAGAUGAUCGCUUUCUGAACUGUAAUUCAGAAAAGAUUGAUUAGUUCUUUCAAGUAAUGUUCGGCCGUCCCCUCACUGUUGUAUGGUAUGAAACCUUCAGCUACCCACAACUGAUAUAAUUGCCUCGUGGAUAUCUCAAUACUUGGAGGGAAGACAAACAAAUAGAUGCAGCAGACUUUCAAGUGAAAAGGUAACUCCAUCACAGAAUAAAUUUGUCUCCAAGCUGUCGGAAUCGCUUCGCCUUGAAAAUAAUUUUCUAAUGGCAUACGUCCGUAGUGUAGGACGAAAAAUUGCAAGCCUUCAUACUUUAUUCUAAUCAGUGGUCCUCCAACGAGCACUGAAUCAAGCCGAAUCUCCUCUGCGUUUUCCAUUUCCAACGAUGUAAGGAGUCUUGGAUCAGCGACCAAUAUCAAUACUCUGCUUCCAUUCUGAUUAUCAGGAAGAACUUCUUCAAGAUCAUCCCAUAUCUCACUCUCAUCGAAGAAGCACAAUAAAGUACUUAUUGUUUGUUAGGUAAUCUCGAAGACUAGAUUUCUUCAAUUGAUAACUUCACCGAGGCAUCACAGACUUGAUUAUGUCAUCCAAUAUCUUGCCAAAAUCGUAGGCUAUAGAAACCCUGACCCAAGCAAGACAGUCAAAAUAGAACUUGACAUGAUUAUUGUUAAAAGUAUCUGCAGCAAAAGCAGUCUUAUCGAAGCCACUGCUGUCGAAAAUUGCAACCACUGAUAUCGAUAGAUCAAACAACUUCUCUCUGCCCUUUUCAAAUUCACUGAUAUCGAGCCGAGGUUGUCCCUCAUUCAAUAGGCGAAUGAUUUUGUUACUUUGUUCACUGAUAUCAAAACCAUUGUCGCCGGGUGGAAGUUGUUGCAUCUGAUUUCUAAUAU